Molecule: long non-coding RNA, 55850 nt
Filed under: Cinara cedri
Lineage: Eukaryota; Metazoa; Arthropoda; Insecta; Hemiptera; Aphididae
Source: RNAcentral
UCCGCGAUCGUCGCGUACCGUAUUAUUGUUAUUAUUAUUAUUAUUAUUAUUAUUAUUAUUAUUAUCGUUAUUAUUAUUGUUGUUACUAUUAUUGUUAUUAUUAGGUAUAAUCCACCGGGCGCCUGUGCAGCUCCUGUUCGAACAGCGUUUACGGACGGACGGACGGGGAUUUGUUUGAGGUACGUAAACAAUUAUAGCAGUACUGUUUGUUAAUAUAGCAUUAUGAUCGUGAAGUUUUUUUUUUUUUUUUUUUUCGGUUUUCUCGCGCAGUAUGAAAAUAAUAUUACACGCGUAUACGUUGUAUGGGUGUAUAAGCGCCGCUGGUCGCUAUAAUACGUUUUUCGUGUUCCGCGUAUGCCAUGUCUAAGAGCAACAAUCCUAUUUGAUAUUUAAUACUUCCUUGAUAAUAAAACUAUUCGAAUGUCACGAUAAAUAAGUAAUUAACAAUCAGCGUAUAUCCAACUCUAUUUCAUUUUUUUUUCUCGUAAGUUUCUCACGGUUUUAAUUGAAUUCAUCACAAUAAUAUUGUGAUGUAAAGUUCACGGCGAUUAAAAAGAAAAAAAACAUUUCCAAAAAAUAUAAAAUGAUACACAUGAAUAAAUAAAUAAAAAAAAAAAAAAAUCUCUUUUUGAAAUUUAAAUUCCGAUAAGGCGACGACGACUCUGAUUUACAAACGGGAUAAUUUACAAUAUUUGCAUAUUAUUAUAUUCGUAUUAUCGUUACGAAGCCAAAAAGUCUACACUACUAGCGGUAAUCAAAGUGGAAUUAAUUAAUGCUAAUAUGAUCAAUGCUCGAUGUGGUUUUUUAGUUUUUAUGUUUUAUGUGCCGAUGGAUAAAGUGAAUUUUUUUUUCACAAAAAAGGGAUUUGGCAUUUCGAUUAGCCGAUUUACCGUCGGGACGAUUAUUAUAAUAUUUAUUAGAGUAAAAUAGUUAUUUGAGCGUAGGGGUAGGGUUUUUUUUACCUUUGAAAAUAUAUAAUUUAUUAUAUUUUCCAAUUUAUACUUCCUAUAAUUGACGUAUUCAUUUAAACCUGUGCAUUUUUUUUUUUUUUUUUUUUUUUUUUUUUGUAUGUUUUUUCGAAAUAAAUGAUAUUUCGCGUUGAUUUACAGGUGGACGAAGGCUAGGCGUAUUCGUUCUCUCUGUAAAAAUAUUAAAAAAUUCCAUAAACAUGGUUCCAAUCUAAAAGUAACAGAAAAAAAAACCGAACGAACUCCCCGUAGUGUUCUCGGUUUUUUCGAUAUAUAACUGACAUGUAGAUGAAGGUAUUACAGAUUACUUUAUGUAGCCACUCGUUGUACCGUGUUUUCGAAAUUCGAAAUAACUCCGAACAAUGACUAUCGAUAAGCGAAAUACUGCGCGGCCGCCCCCGGUUGACUUUUUAAUCAACGCGUUUCGACUUUUAAUAAUAUACUGCAAACAACCCUUCGCCUCUGAGUCGAACGAUUCACUACUACCUAACCACGAACCAAUAAACAAAAAAAAAAAACGUUCAAUUCCCCCCCCUAUUCCUAAAAAAAAAAAAAAAAAAAACACCGCCUAUUAUUAUUUAUCGUUUGUCGAAAAUAAUUUUAAAUAAAAAAUGAUUUCAAUAUUUUCGGAAAAGAAAACAAUUCCAUAAAUUGUUUUACCGACAACGCUCGUCUCGAGCGACAACGAGAUAUUACCUAUAAUAAUAAUAUAUGUACAGUAUAUACAAUAUAUGGUGUUUUAUUAUCGGGGGUGUACAAAUGCUUCGGUGUAUAGCUAUUGUAAUAGGUAAUAUAUAUAUAUAUAUACACAAUAUACAUUCAUAAUACAUAAUACAUAUACAGGUGUAACAGAACUAUUUGCCAUUUUUACAUUGUAAUUACAUGUAAAAAUGUGAAACAGUCCAGUUACACCCUGUAUAUGACGACGGUGCCAAUAGCUUUGUGGCGUUUAUGAUGCGAUGUCAAAAAGACAAUAUUUAUUCUGUCGGGCAAAUAAUAAUAAUAAUUCGCGUGCAUAUAUGAACUACUCUGUAUAUAUAUAUAUUUAAUACACGCACACACGCACACACACACACACACACACAUACAAACAUAGUAGAGCACACUCUAAAUAUUGACGGGAAAACAUUGAACGUUGACACAAUAAUAUUAUAUAUGGAAUUCGCGGUUUCUUAGUGGCAAAAGCGUAAAUAGUGAAAAUUUUAAAAGUUUAUUGGAGUAUAUAUUUAUGGUAUAAAACAUCGUGCACAAAAAAUAAUAACAAAGAAAACGGUAAAGCCGAGGCCUGCCAUAAAUAUUUGCCGUUUUACCUGUAAUUUUGUUUCGGGUUUUUCUAAUUAUUUUGAAAACCCCUUGUAUAACCAAAAAAAUUAUCUCUUUAAUACAUCGACUAGAUAAAAUUAUUUUUCCGAAAAAAAAAGCACACAUCAUAAUAAAUUGAAUAGUUGCACGCUGCACUCCGAAUCUAAAAAAAUGUAUACAUAAUAAUUAAUUUAAUUUAAUUUAACUGUUGCUAAUGACUCAAUUAUAAUUUGAAGUAAGUUAAUAUUUAAAUCGUGAACAAAUAAAAAAAUAAGUAAAACUUUUAAAAAUUGGUUACGCCUAUUAUUAUAUUACGAGUACGACGAACUACUAUAUCUACAUAAAUUUUAGCUACACCGCGUACUUAAAACCGAUUUCAAAUGCAACAGGAACUCCUCUAUUGAUCACGUACGAUAAUGUGAAAAGGUAAUUAAAUUUGAAAGUGCUACUUUUACUAGAUUUUUCAUAUUUAAUAAUACGAGUAUAUAAAUAAUAUAUAUUUUUAGAUUCUGAGUGAAGCGAAGAAUGUAUUGGUUGUAAGAUAAGACUUGAAAUUUGGAAAAAAAAUUUAUAUUUACCUUUUCUAGAUGUGGUAAAAUUUUCUAAAAAUUCAAGCCAAUUUUAAUUUUAGGCAAAUAGGCAUUAGUUUUGUACGUAAUUUUUAUUCGUUUUAUUUGUAUAGUUCGAAAAAAAAAAUUGAAUUUAAGGUAUUAUUUUUUAUAAGGGAAUUUUUAUAUCAAAUUUUGACGAAAAUCGUUUGAGUAAAAAAUUAUGUGAAACAAAUCUAAUUUUUAAAUUUUUUUUUCUGAUCAAAUGUACAUUGCCGAUUUAAAAACGAAGUCUGAAUUAAGAGACUAACUAAAUUUCAAAAUCAUAGCUUUUUGAAGUUUUAGUAUUUUGCGGAUAUUAUAUGUUAUGUUAAAUAUGUCUAUAUUAUCCUUCUAAAAGCAUAUUUGUCGUGAUCUAAUGGUUAUUCAUGCCUAUUAUUAUCCUAGGAGAUCCAAUUUCAAACCAGUGUUUCAAAAAAUAUUGUUUGCAUUUUUUUCCCUUUUACCUAAAACAAGAAAAAACAAAUGCACAUUGGAUAUACCUAGAGACCCAAGCCAUCGCCCUUGGACAAUUUCAAUCGCAUUAUACCCCUCAAUUUGUUGGGAAAACUUUUUACUAGAAAUCUUGCUUCGAUGUAACAAAUGUUGCUUAUUUUUUAAAAGGAAAUUUUAUCUUCAUGUUAAUUUAAAGAGUUCAUUUUUUGGUUUUUCAAACGUUUUUCAUAAUAACUGUGAAAAACUGGGAUAAAAUUUCAGGAAAAACGGAAAAUGUGUAAAAUGUAGGUAUAUGUAGGUAUUAGUAAAAAAAUAUUCUGGCCUUUUUUUUCUGUGUACAACUUUUCUACAGCAAAUUUUGUUCCGAUUUUAAAUGAUAGAACUUUUUCUAAAAGGAAAUCUGGCUGAAAAGGUACUUUAAAGAAGUUAUUUUUCAACUUUUCCAAUAGUUUUCUAAGCAAAUGUGAUAAACCGAGAAAAAACAUGGGAAAUCUGGAAAAUCGGUACAGUAUUAAACAAAUAUUGUUAAAGAAAAUAUAUAAUGCCUAUUUAAUUAUUUUACCUUAAUAUGACUUAUAUAUUGUUUACAAAGCAUCACUAUCAACUCUGCUUAGAAUCGUUUUUUCGUUGGCUACGGUUAUAGAUACACAUUUAAUUACCCAUAAUAGGUUAGGAUGCAUCAGUCUUCUUUAUCCUAGGACGUAGUUUUAAAAGAAACGCAUUUUAAUUAUAUUUUAUCCAAAAGAAAUGAUACUGAUGACGGGAGUGGCACUGUUGUAGACAGAAUUUUAGGAAAGUGAGAUGUACACAAUUUUUUACUUAGAUCAAAGAAAAAAAAACUCCUCACUAGAAGGUUUUUCGCUCCAGUAGUCAAAAGUUAUGUAUACCUACGCCAUUGAUUGAUAUUAUCGUUUCCACUCGUUUAAUAUCAUAUAAUAUUAUAUUUUGAAACUGCCGUAUUUAAAAUAUCAACAGCUUCUAAACAUUUAGUUCCGAACGAUACAUACAUUUUUUCUUUCGAUCACUUUACAGAACGGAAACUCUGUUAAACACAGAUAAGUUAAAUGUAAUGGAAAUCGGGUCGGUUUAUUGCUUAGCUUAUUAUAUUUUUAUUAUAAUUCUCGGUGUUGUGCAAAGGUACAUUUAAAAAUAUCUAGAAAAAACUAAAUUAAGUAACACCGAAAUGAGUGCUAAGAGUGCUAUAUAUUAAUUAUGAAACACAUCUAAAUGUUCAAAAGUAUUCAUGUGAAUUAAUAAACCAUAUUAAGAUAAAUAAUAUUUUAUUUACUAUUUCUAAUAUAUAUUAUAUUAAUACGAUUUAAAAUAAAUUAUCGAGAUGGGUUAGUUAUUUUUAUUUCAGAUACCUUAUUUCCCAUUGAUCUUGAGAAAAUAACAGAUAACAUAUACUUACGCCUAGAUAAUUUAUCUAGAUAAAAUACAAUUUGCUUUUUUGUUCUGGACAAUAUUCAGAUUUUCACGGAAAUCAAAAAUGUAUCGUGUCGCGUAGUUUUUCAAAUUUAUUACGUACAUGCAAUACUAAUUAUAUGUAUUUAUCAAAAAUUAUUACUUAUUAAAUACUACGUUUAUUCUUAAACUUAAAUCAGAAUUUAUAAUCUAUCUUCGUCUUAGAAACGUAAACUAAAACUUAAAACAUGGUUGUAAAUUUGUUUAAAUCAUUGUUUCUAUAAUAAUAAUUUUUUUUUAUCAUUUACAUUACGAAAUUCUACGAUAAACGCAUUAGGUUUUGCAACGUGUCGUUAAAAUUUGUCCACUGUGCACACAAUAUGAUUUCUUUUUUAAAUUAUGAUUGAAAAUCGUGUGGUGUUAAUAAUUUUUCAGCGAGUCCCGUAUACUAAAUUGUUGACGCCCCUCAUAUGUUGUGGUACAUAAAUCAUUUUUCAUAGAAAUUCUCGCCCUCUGUGUUCGUGGGCAUAAUGGGGAAUAAUCCGCCCCAUUGACGUGCACCUAAUGUACAAAUUGCCCGGGAGCAUUAUUAUUAAUAUUAUUAUUAUCCGGGGCACGAAUAUUCCGCGGGAUCCGUUUUGGUAUUUGUACCUGUGUGGGAUGAUGAAAUAAUUUAUCCGAGAGAAAUUUCAAAUACGAAAUUUUGAAACGAAAACAUGGUUGAUGUGGAGUUAAAUAUUUUCGUUUAAACGACCAGAGGACGGGCUUUUUUUCAUAAUACCAUGAAAUCCUAUUCGAUAGUUAUAACGUCAAUUUUCAAAUGUAAUUUUAAAUUCUGCUUCAAACUUGAUUCGCGUCUCACGAUCUCGUCUCUAUGUCGUUAUAAUAUUUUUAAUUGUUUCGAUGACACGAUAAAAUAAUAGAGCCAGUAUAUAUAUAUAUAUUCUGUAAGUUCGAAGGAGUAAGAUGUUUUACCCUCGUCAUAUUCAUCAAAAAUACCGCGAGGGAGCAGUGGGGAAUUCAGACAGAAAUUUAACUUGGUUUUGAUUUUCUGACAAAAAUGUUCGUUAUUUGUCACAUUUUGUAAUCAUUCGAUUUUCUCAACUAAAGUAAUAAAAUGAAUAACUACUCUAAGAUAUUUUUGUAUGUUUGUGUAUGUGUGAAAAGUGUGUCCCCUCACGAGUUUUUCACCUUAAGAAACACUUGCUGUGAGACCUCCCGGGGACGAUAUAAUAUUACGUGAAAAAGUGAUUAAUCGGUUCGAUUUUUUUUUUUACUCACCGAACGGAGCUCUGCACUGCAUAAUGCAAUACGGGUGUAUCCCGACGCUUUUAGUAUAAUGUUUUGCGCCGUUCCCCCGGGACGCGUUGACGCCGCGUGUGUUUGAGUGCUUUUAAAAUUCGUUUCAAACAAAUAAUUAAACACAUUAUGUAUGGUAAUACUCAUAUAUACGUAUAAUAAUCAAUCCGUAACUUUUGGAAGUUUUUUUACGCGGUGAAAAUCCUCAAUAACAUGUAUGGAAACGGUAUGUGAAAAUAGUUUUUCUGAUUUUAUUAUCACCUUGUAUAUAGUUACAACUAUAGAGCUUGUGUGUACCAUGACAAAAUAGAUAGGUAUAAUUGCAGUUUUUUGAUAUUAUGCACACUCCACUCGAAUAUUUCUGCACUUUACCUAUAUUACCGUAGUUACUUCUCAUUGGCUAAUAUUAUACUAUGGUAGAAUGGAGAGCUACGACAUAUGCCGAGUUUGAGAUCUGAACGACUGACACACUGCAUGUGAUUAUGCCUAAGAGGUCAACUCUAUUGAUAAUUACUGAAUGUUUUUCAAUAAUUUUCGUUUUUUAUUCACGGAGAAAAUGAUUAUACCGUUAUUAUACCUACAUGAUAAUGUUGGAAUAUUUUAUCCAAAUAAUAUUAUAUGAUUGAGAUAAAAUUGAUUAUUUUUAUGAAAAAUCUAGUUAUUUUGUUGAGAAGAACUUUGAACCGUUUAUAAUAGUUGGUAUUAGAAAUGGUGGAUUUUGAAAUUUUUCCUUGGAAGUAGGGAUUUCUGAUAUUAUUUUAGAAUAUAUUAACAAUAUUUAUCUACUAAUCAUAUUUUAUUAAUUUAAUUUUAAUUAACUUCCACUAACAAAAAAACCCAAUUAUUUCUUUACUUACGUGACUGUAGGUAUCUAUAUUUUACUUAUUCUAUUCAACAAAAAAAAUUGUAUUUACUUAAAUUAAAAAUCCUCAUUUCGCUAUUUUUACUCAUCCGUCCCAAAAUUCUAAUCUAAACAGCUAAUCAACGUUUCCAGAAAAUCACGGUGGAUUUUCCACACACAGAUAUUAAUAUAGGUAUUAGGUAUACAAUAUAUACUAUAUAAUUGUACUCGUAUAAAUCCUAUAAAAACUAGAAAUGAAUCCGAUUAUUAUUAAAUAUUACUUUAACAAGCAAUUUGUAAUAAUUUUCCAAAAAUGUUGUGUUUGUUUUUAUUUCAAUAAAAAACCGAUUCACAGCCAAAACUCAAAACCUGGCGAUCCAGACUUUCUACCCCCCCAAGCCUUACAACCACCAUUAGUGAUUAGUAUACCAUAGAACUUGUUCAAUGUAAGAUAUACCUAAUAUGGUGGUUUUUGGAUACAUAACACUGAUAACUAAAUUAAUCAGUGGUUAAAGUGGAAAAACCUUCAAAGUGGUACUAUAUUUACUGGAAAUUGAGGGUCUUUUUGAAAACUAACAAAACUUAAACAAACUUUCAGGUAUUCUUCUACUAGGUAACUAGGUAUUCUUCUUUUUUUGUGCAAAAAACUAUGUCGUUCGUUUAUCUUAAGACAGUAAUAGUUUGUCCUCCUAUUCAAAUACCUUUCUGUAUUUCUGUUCUGUUUGGUUUUUGUGUAUGUUAUAGAUAACUCUCCUUUCGUUGUAUUUAAUUCCUAUUCCUUUAAGAAUUUUAAAUAAUUCAAUCCAUUGUACUCUAUCAAAAGUUUUCUUUGAUCUAUAAAGGCGAUGGAGGUUUUCUUGUUCCAUCUAAUCCUUUUUUCUAGCAUUGUUCUUAGUACUAAGGUCGCUUCUCUAGUUUCUACUUUUUCUUAAUUGAUCAUCACCUAGGUUCACAUCGAUAAUUUUUUAUAUUCUGUUUUUUAUUACUCUAGUUAAUAUAUUUGAUGCAUUGUACCCUUCUUGGAGAUUGUUAUUAUAUUCCCUUUACUGAAAUCUUCGACUAUUUUUCCAUUUAUAUACAUUUCGUUGCAUAUUUUUUUAAGUUCUUUAUUUAUACUUUCGCCAGCACUCUUUAUAAGUUCUGCUGGGAUUUUAUCAAUACCACACUCGUUUUUGUUCUUUAAAUUUUAAAUAGCGAAUUCAAUUUCUGAUUGGAGAAUAUAUUCUCCUAUUCGUCAUCUAUAUGAUCUUCUAAAAUGGUUUUGUUAAGCUGACCUGCAUACAGUUCCUCUAGAUAAUCCUUCCGUAUUUUUUAUUUAUCUGUUAUUAGUAUUUGACCCGUUUUACUUCUUAGAGCAUUUCCAUUUAAUAUUUUUAUACUGAAUAGUUUUCUCACAAUUUCGUUAGCUAGAUUGCUUUUUUCCUGUUUUCAGAUAAUCUUCCACUUUUGUAAAAUGAUCAUUUAACCAUUUUCCUUUGGCUUCUUUUGCUUUAAUUUGUAUGGAAUUUCUGAUACGUCUAUAGGUCUGUUGACUUUAUAUACAACUUUGAUUUUUAGGCUUUCUUUCCUUGUUUAUUAAUUCUACAAUUUCUUUUGUAAGCCAGAGCUUCCUUGCUUCUUUCUCUUAUGCUCUCAUUACUUUCUCAGCAGUAUUUUUCAGUAGUUGCUUAAUAUUCUUUCAUAUUUCUUCUAUUGUGUUAGUACUCCAUAGUUCUUUUGCAAUCAAAAGUCUGCAUUUAUUUUCAUAUUCUUCUUUUGUUUCAUCAGUUUUUAAUUUCCGUGUGUUCUAUCUCUUGGUGUUAGUUUUUUUUUUUUUGAUGUUUUAUAUUUAAAUUUAGAUUCCAUAGUAAAAAGGUUAUGAUCACUAUUGAUAUCUACUCCAGGGUAUAUCUUACAUUGUUUAAUUUUAUUUCUAAAUCGUUUUUUUGUCAUAAUGUGAUCAAUUUGGUAUCUUGUUAUAUAUCCAGAAGCUUUCAAAGUAUAUCAUCUUCGUUUGCAGUGCUUAAAUAGAAUGUUCGCUAGUACGAGCUUGCGUUACAUACAAAAUUGUAUAAGUCUCUCACUUCUUUCAUUUCUUUUUCUUAAUCAAUAGCUUCCUACUAUAUAUCCAUCAUUCUGUUGUCCUACUGACGCAUUCCAACUACCUAAACUAAUGACAUUUUCUGUAGCUAUUGUCAUACUUAGAAAUUCAUCUAUUUUAUCAUAUACUUCUUUGACUGCGUCGUCAUCAUGUUGUUGGCAUAUAUACUUGGAUAAUCGUUAUAAUUGUUGAGCAGGUAACAACUACCAUGACAAUAAAUAAUAUUAUGUGUAUUUACUAUCACUCUUCAAUGUUAACAGUUUAUAGCACCUUUAUGGUUUGAGAAGGUCAAAACAAUUUUUGAUGAAACAGUACAAAUACACCAUAAUGUAUAGUUGAGACAGUGGGACGUGAACAUUUUAUAGAUUUUUGAAGAGUUAUUGACGUGGAUGGAUUUGGAAAAGGAAUAAAUCUAAAUUGUUACUUUAUCUAGUACUCUGAUCUAUUAAAAAAAAAAAAUCCAAGGAGUAUGAUUUUUUUACUCGUCGAGUAAUGUGUAUCCUUACAAAAUAUUUACCUCUCAAAUUUUUGAGUUCGCUACGCCACUGUAUACGGACGAAUUUUUACCCAGUAUAAUAAAAACACGAAUAAAAUAUGUUAGAUAUGAUUUCCGAAGAAUCAUACGAUACAAUAAGUAUAAUAUUUCGUCAUUCGAAAAAUAGUCCGAAAAAAAUACAGUAUAAAAAGUGACUUUAUACCUAAAACGUUUUUUUUUUUUUUUUUUUACUGACAAUAUUCCUCAUUUUACAUAUUAUACUCAAAAAUGAUAUGGUAUUUUAUCUACUGUUUCUAAAAUUGAGUUUUAUUGACGACCACUGUUCAAUCAUAUUGCAAUAAUAAUAUACAGUAUCACCUUCGUUCUCUGUGUUUUUUUAUAUUUUACAUAUAUUUUUUAAAUGUUUAACUGUAACCCUUUAUACAGUUCAUGUGGUAAAAGCAUUUUCAUUUCGAGAAUCUGCGCUAUUAAUGUUUAAAUUGUAUUAUCUAAAACCGGAUAAGUAUAUAUGUAGUAUAAUAUUAUAGUAAACGUGAGUAUAUAGGUUAGGUUUACGUGAAACUAAUUUACUUUUAUCGACCGUUUUCGUAAAGUGUAUACCCAUAGGGCUCAUUUAUUUAAAGCGAAGUACUCGGGCGUAGAUAUUUGUCGAGAAACUUAGACGCGCAUUACUUGAAAAAUUACAUGUUUUGCGUAGGUAGCUAUAAUAUAAAUAGGUAUUAUUAUGAUUGUUGAAGGUAAUAAUUUAAUAAAUUUCAUGAUUAAUAUUUUGACUAAUUUUUUUUUAAAAAAAGAAGAACAAAGCAAACCAUCCAAGUGUUAUACAGGGUUAACUCACGUAACUCGAAAAAAAUUUACGUAUAAUUAUCAUAAAUUUUUAUUUUUUUAAAUUUCCAAUCGAGUUUGUUAAAAAAAAAAUAUAAAUAAUGAUAAUAAUUAUAUCUUUUUAGUUUUGUUAUUAUAAUUUUAUAAGUUAUAAAUAGACAUUUCGCAGUUAAUUUUUACUCUAUAAAGUUAUUCCUCUUUUCCUUCCCACUACUAGAUAACUAAUACUUUGCACGUUAGAAAAAUUCUAAAUUACCUCUAAAUUACCAUGGAGAAAAAAUUUAAUUUUAGAAAAUAGGUUACACUUGAUACAUCGGAGCAAGAUUUCUGAUAGUAAAGUUUGUACGGAAAAUCGAGGGGUAUUUUGCAAAUAAAAUAGUCCGAGGAAGCAAUAGAUUGGGUAUAUCCAGAAUACAUCUGUUUUUUCCUUGUUUAGGUAAAAGGGAAAAAAGUGCAAAACAAAUUUUUUUUGGCACAUUGGUUCGAACUUGGAGCCCCUAAAAUGAUAAAAGGUAUAAAUAACCAUUAGAUCACCACAAAUAUACUUUGGAAUGAUAAUACAGAGUUCUUUAACAGAACAUAAUAUCCGCAUAAAAUCAUAAAUUUAAAAAGCUAUAAUUCCGAAACCUAGUCAGUCUGCUUAAUUCUGACUUCACCAUCGUUCUUAAAUCGGUGAUAUACAUACAUAGUAUAUUUGAUAAAAAAAAAAAAAAAUGAAAAAAAAGAUUUCUUCUACAAUAUCCUUAUAAAAAAAAUACUUAACCUCCUGUUAAAUUUUAAAACAUUUCUAUUCAAGUCUAACAAUUUUACCAUAAAGUACCUACCGAAUAAAAAUUACGUACAAAACUCUCAAAAUUAAAAUAUUUUAAAAAGUUUAAAAAUGGCUUAAAUGUUUAGAAAAUUGUAGGAUGUCUAGAAAAAAUAUCAAUUUUCUGUCUAAAUCCCAAGUCUUUACGAAUAUUUUUAACUGAAUUACAACAAAUCACAAAACUGAUAAAAUAAUAAAAGCAUUAAUUUCAUACAUUUCCCGUUUUUCCUACAUUUUAUUAUAGUUUUUCCCAGAUAUUAUAAAAACGGCUUGGAAAAUCAAGAAAUAGCCUCCCAAAAGUACUAUCUGGACAAAAUUUCCUUUCAGAAAUGGUGCCAUGCGUAUAUAUUUUAGCAAGAUUUCCAGUAAAGUGUUUGUACACAGGAUUAAAAAAUGAAAAAAAAAACAUCUUAGUAAUCUGAGUAAAACCAGUAUAUUCUUCGCUACACUCAGAAUCUAAAACAAAAAAAAAAAAAUGUUUUUGCUACAAACUCACAGCCACCACCAGUUAGGUACUCUACUCGUAUUAUGCUUUCGGCACUUAUCCUAGCAGAAAAAAAAAUAUAUACAUGCCUAUACAUGAAUGAAUACUAUCGAAGUAUAUGUAUGUAAUUUGUUUUGUUUGAUUUAUUUUAUGGUCUGCAGACGAACAAAAAAAAACUAACCAUUUUGUAGCGUAUACCUAUAUUAUAUAUUAUUAUUAUAGACAAUCCCUUGCAGUGUUUGUGUUUACACACGACUGUUCACUUGAAACUCGGACAAAUAUUUACACUAGGUUAGAUGGAAGGAGUGGAGGGGCAUGCAGGUGGAUUAUCGUUGUUGUUUAUUAUUAUUUGCUAGGUUUACUAUAUUUUUAUUUUAUUAUCAUUUUUUUAUCGUUAUCAUUAUCAUAUCAUUUAUCAUAUUCCCUGUCCAUAAUAUAUAAUCACUUAAGGCUUGAACUUCAGUACCUUUAUUAAAAUUAAUUAAUUUAAAGCUUAAAAGUUCUAAAAAUAUCUAAAGAUUUCAUUGAAAAUGUAUUUAAUAAUGAUAAUACCUAAAUAUAAAUAUACAUUAAAAAAAAAUAAAUUCAAUACAAUGUAAUUUAGUCAAGAAAAUAAAAAUACACGUUUGUUGAAUAAUACAGUUGAAAAAAAGACGUCUUAAGAUAUGGAAACGGGUGCAGCCACUGUUAUAGGUAAUUUAAUGUAUAUCUAUAAACAACGAUAAACCAUUGCCAACAAAAAAAAAAAAAAAACAAUUCUGAGCGCAGUUCAGUUGAUAGUGAUGCUUUGUGGAUAAUAUUUAUGUCAUAUAAUGGAAAAAUAAUUAAAUAGAAUUAUAUUAAAUAUAUCUAUUAUAUAGAAAUAUAUUUUCUUUAAUAAUAUUUAUUUAAUAUUGUAUCAAUUUUCCCGUUUUUUUUUAGUUUUUCAUAUUUGUUGAGAAAUCUCCUGGGAAAUUGAAAAAUUAACCCCCUAAUAUACCAUCCCAAUAAAAUUUCCUUUAGGAAUAUGGUCUAUAUUGUAUGCAUCGGCGUAUGCUUUCUGGUAGAAAAAGUGUUCACAUAAAAAUAAAUAAAUAAAUACAUAUAAACAUCUUUUUAAAACUAAUACAUUCUUAACUAUACUCAAAAUCUAAAGUAUCAAUAAUUUCACUAAAUUUUUGAUGUAACAAAUGUAUAAUUCAUUUUACACUAAAUCUCAUUCCCUAAAAAAAAUUUGAGCAAUUCAAUAAAUUUCGAGUUCACUAAUUUAACACUCUAUGUGAUGUAAACAAUAUUAUCUAUAAUACUUAUUUGAAUUGAAAACAACAUAAACGCAUAUAUUCAAGUGAUUCUUUAGUUUGAGAAAACUAAAAGUAACAAAAUUAUAUUAAGUCUUGUCUGGUUUCUAAUUUUCCGAAAAAAAGUAAUGGUCAAGUAAAAAUUGUAUAAUAAUGAAUUUUUUUUUUUUUUUUUAUCAUUAUUCAGCUGUUUAUAGUUAAACAAUACAUGAUAGUAUACAAACAUUUAUUAACUCUUCUCGUUUUCUCUAUUUUUUUUUAUACAUAUUAUAUUAUUAUUAUUUGACUUGUGAAGAGUGUAUAGCUGCCAAAAGAUAUUCUUUAAAUUACUUUUUUUUUUCACAUGUUGUAGGUGCUUUUUAUUUAUGUUUAAGUUUUGCUUUUGGGGAAUUUCUCUUUGAUGGCCCAAGGCUACAGCUUUCUCAGGCCUGUAGGACCACUAAACAAAGGGUUCUUUUCUCUUAAUCUGGCUUUGGUCGGAUUCACGUGAUAUUAAUAUAUUAGCGAUGCAACGUAACUCAGGAUUUUAUGAAAAUCUUAAAAACCCGAAUUCCGGAUUUUGAGACAACAAAAUCCGGAUUUUGGGUUUAUGUUUUUCAAACCUGAUUUUUUUUAUAUAUCUAUAUAAAAUAAAUGUCAAAUAAUGUCUAUUCAAAAAAAAUGUGUCUUCGAGAUAAGGGACUUAGGAUUUAUUUAUGUAUAUACUCCAUCCCAUUCCUUCAGAUCUGAUAUUGCGUUUAUAUAUAUAUAUUUCUUGUAAGACCUUACGAAUUCAUGGUUUUUAUACGAUGGCACACUAAACAUUAAAUGUAGUACUAUAUUUAGUUAUAUUUAUUCAAUUCAAUAGUUCAAUUGAUUCUUGAUUACGACUUGACAGUAUGGAAGCUUUCCCUUCCAGUUAAAAUUAAAUUAUUUAAAUAGGUCCAAAAACAAUCCAUAAUUAUUCAAUAUUCUUAUUGAAAAUUAAUUACGCCCAAAAUUGCUAUGAUCGAUCAUUAAUAAUUUAAAUCUUAUUUCCCUCGAGAAAAGGCGUAUAAAAACAAAUCAAAACGUUUUACUUAAUUUACUUCAUGGUAAAAUAGAUAUAUUUUAACAAAUAUCUACAUUUCUUCUAUUUCCUGGUUGAUCCUUUGUUUUUUUUUGAUUUUUCUAAAUUGAAGAGAAUACUCCUUAAAAAAUCGAAAAAUUACUCCCUAAAGUAUCUCCCCUACACCGAUUUUCUUUCAGAAAAGGUACUACAUUUAAAAAUCUGAGCAAGUCUUCUGGUAGAAAAGUUGCGCACAGAUAAAAAAAAAAAGAUAACUUUUUUGUAAAAUCAUAAACCUCUUCGUUCCACUCUUAAUCUAAAAAAAGUGUUUUUUUUGAUGUUUGAAAUCGGGGUUUAAAAUAUUAAAUUUCAUAAAUUUCAUGAUAGGAAAAACAUGCACAUAAUAAUAUAUUUUUUUAUUUUAAUUUCCUGUAAACUCUUUAACUCGUUUAUUCAUUUAUUUUUUUAAUUAUUCGUGUGGCAAAAUAGAAAAUAAUGAUUAUGAUAAUUAUAACAAUUAAUAGAAUGGUAAAAUAAAAUUGCAUAAAAUGAAUUGGAAAGUAUGGCUGACAGUAUUUAAUUUCCUUUUAGUUAUUUGUGAGUGAAUGAUUCGAUUAAUGAAAGAAAUACUACUAACAAUUAUUACUGAAAUUUUUCGCUUAUUAUAAUAUAUAUGUUAGUUCAUAAUUUAUUGCGAAAAAAAUCAUAUUUUUUCGAAUUUUAAUACCAAUGAGGUACACUUUAGGAUCUACGAAAUUUUACAAAAAUUAUUAUUUUUUAAAAUUUUGAACAAAUUCUGGGGAUAACUGGAUUAAAAAUUUAAAAACAAAAAUAAAACAUUUUCCAUCUACACCAGUGGUUAAACUUAAACUUAUAGUGCACACGGACCCCUGACGAAAGACUUUUAGGAAUCACGGGCCCCCUACCAAUACCUUUUUUUUACAAUAUAGCUCAUGUUAUCAUAAUCGAUAUAUUUAUCGAUAGAGCUAUUGCGCCCAGGGGACCGCUGACUACAGUUUUAGAACUGCUGAUCUAUACGAUAAGAACCCUCCUAAUAUAUAUUAGUAUACCUCCUAGUAACCCUCCUUAUAUAUAUUAAUAUCUAUUAAUCGCGCACAAUGCAGAGUACAAAAUAAAUUACCUAUGUAUACUCAGAUAGGAGAAGUUAAUAGUUAAGUGUAUUUUUAUUAUAAAACCAUCGUGGCCGUCGGCGUUGUCAAGCUAUAGGCAAGCCCGUUUAAUAUGUAUAAUGUAUAUAUAUGUAUAAGAUAUAUAACAUAUAAUAUAUAUAUAUAUAUAUAUAUAUAUAUAUAUAUUUAUAUACAUAUAAAACACCCUUUUCGAAUUUUUAAUUUCGUUUCCGGAGUUUUUGGACGACUCGAAUCGUCGUCGUUAUGGACACCACGCACGUGUCAACUGUAAGUAGGUAUACUCGUACAUAAUCUAUCUCGAUCCAAAAACAUUUUGUAUUCUUCGCGACGUGCACGGCGAAUGCACUAGACUAGAAAAUAUACUCCGAGCGUAUAAUAUAGCUGACGAAAGAGUUUUGUAAUAAAACCGUUUUGUAUUGGUAUAAUAAUAUUAUCAAUAUUAUCAGGUACUUAUUACAUGAUAGUGUCAGUAAAAUAAUUGCUCGAUAAUAUAGAUUUCGGAAGAGAACUAUCAAACCAAACUAAAACUAUGUAUGAUUGUGUACUAUGAUAGAGUCCUAUAUUAUAGUAUUGAUAGGUAUGACGUUGGCAACCAUAUUAUACUUCAAUAAGACCAAUGUGUUGAUAAAUUCGUGACAUUUUUGUUUACGCCAUAAAUUAUGUUAUAAUAACAAUAUAGAAACAAUUUGUCGAAAGACUUAUAGCGUUUUCUAUGUGACUGCACUCGUAUAAAGUAGGGUACAGCUAUUGCCUGCUAUCAACGGCCGCCGUCAGUACAGUAAAUAAAGCAAAUUCCUUACUACCAAUAUAUUGUAAUCUUACCUACACGAGUGCAAAAGAACGAAAUUGUCGAUUUUGAUGGUGGAGAUUAUAUUUAAUAAGUAUAUUUUGUGAUAUAACACAAUAGAUUCGUAUAAAUAUUUGUAUUAUUCGAACAUUCGUGUAUUUUGUGUUUAUUGGUAUGUAUUUAUAUAAUUAUGAACUGUUUGUCCAUUAACAAUAGAUUUUAACAAAAAAGUAAUGUUUUACUAAAUUUAUUAUCAUCGUCUUCGUCUCUAAGGGGUAAUGAAAUAAUAAUAAAAUAAAACAUAUAUAAUUAUAGCCUAUAAAUCGUAUUACCAAUAUGGUGGUAUUUUGUAAAUCAUGUUCUUUUUCAUAUUAUCAUACACCAGUAUGGCACAAUUCAGAUACAUAUGUAUAAACGAGUUAUAUCAUAAGGAAAUUCUAUUAAUGUCGUAAUAGAAAAAUUGUUGGAUCCAUAUCCAUUUAACGUCACUAUAUUAAUAUGAUAGCUGGUAAUCGUGUAUUCCGAUUAUUUUUAUAAUUGAAUAAUAAUAUUUUUUGAUUAUUCAAAUAUCUAUGAAUUAUUAAAAUGUAUUAUUUAUUUAUUUUAUUAAAACUAAUAAUAAAUUGGUAGGCCAUGUACUCCCGGAUGCAAAUAUUAUUUAUUUCUUUGACGCCUAUUCGUUCGUAUAAUUUGUGAUUCAUUUCGAAGAUUUUACAUAUAAUCACAAAUUAAAUUUAUCCUUAUCACAUUUUUUAUAGCUAGAAAAAUAAUUCACGGUUUAAUUAAUAAAAUUUGCUGUCUUGAUAUUUAAUAGAUAUUGUGCUAAGAUUCAGAUUUAAUCACAUAGAGUCAGUAGAGUUGUUUAAAAUAUCUGCGAUUAGAAUUGAUAAUAAUAACAAAUAACACAAAAACUAUCGAGAAAUAUUUGCGUUUAUUUUGUUACAAGUACAGAUUUGCAAUUUGAUUGUUUUCAACGGUGUUAUUUUUAUCAAAAAAAUAAUAUUCUACUCAAAUUUAUCUGGAUAAAAAUGAAACAAGGCUAAACUGAAAGAAAAAAAAUCGCUGUCGUUUAAAUAUAUGCUAUACAUUUUAUAUUCACGUCAAAAUACACAGAAUAAUAAUAUACUUGGAUAUAAUGUAAAGGAAUAUAAACAAUGACAUAACUUUUAGGGUUAUUUUAAAAUAUAUUUUGGGUCUUUUGAAACUUUCCUUUUUCAAAAAAACAAAAAUAAAUAAUCAUAAAAAAAUACACACAUUUUUCCGCGCAGAUAAAUCAAUAUUUUGUUUAAGAAAACCUGCUUUCCCAUCAUCUAAAAUAUAUUUAUCUCUCAUAAAAUAAAAAACAAAUAAUACUGCAGGGUAAUUUAGUAUUAUUUGAAAAAUGAAACACUUUUUUGCUCUGUUAAAUAGUUUUAUUUUUUGCAGAAAAGUGGAAGUUAAAAAAAAAGUAUGUAUUUGUAAUAUUUUUAAAAAUAUCUGGUAUUCAUAAAAAAUAUUUUGGUAAUUAAAACUUGUAUAAGUUAUAUAUAGUCAUAGGUUUGUUUAUUUUUUUCGAUUUCAGUUUCUUGAUAAUUUGGCAGAAAUAUGUAUUAUCACUUUUGUUGAUAAUCGCUUGUAGUAUUGAUCGAUACCGAUUUAUUAUUAUAUUUAAAAAAAAAAAACAAUUGUUUCGAAAAAUAUUCAAUGUAACCUUUAUUAUGGAUAUGAUACUGAAAUCGUGCCGGAUAAUCCUGUAUUAAAUAUAAAAAUGCUUAAACAGUAAUAACAGUAAAAAAAAAAAAAAUCCUUAUCAGUAAGCAUGUGCUCAAAACUUGAAAGAAACGGUACAAUUACCGUGUCUCUUAGACCACAACAAAAAUCUCACUAUUCGUAUCGAGAAUUGGAAAUUAAUCCCGAAAAAAAAAACAAGAUUCAUGUGUGUAAUACGUCAGAUUCCGCUUAAUGUGGGCACAUUGGGACCAGUUACAUUUGCCUACAUUAGCGGAAUCCACUGCAAAUUAAAUUUUAAAUAAAUUGCAUACUCUAUAUUUACUUUGCAAGAAAAAAAUAAAACAAAAACAAAACAAACAAAAUACGCCAAGAUUAAAUAUUAAAUUUAAAAAACUUGUCUAGGAUAAUGGAAACGGGUGCAGCUACUAUUGUAGGUAAGAAAUUUGAAAGGUAGAAUAAAGACGGAAAUUUAAUGUAUGUUUGUAAGUAAUGAUUAAACAUUACCAACGAAAAAACGAUUAUUAUGAGUGGAGUUCUGUUGAUAGUGUUGCUUUGUUAACAAUAUAUAUAUAUUUCAUAUUUUGGUAAAAUAAUUACAUAUGAAUAAAACAUUUUCUUUAAUAAUAUUUGUUUAAUCGUAGGUCUUCUAUUCUCCCGUUUUCUCAGUUUUCCCAUCUUUUUCCUUGUUUUUUCUAUUUAUUGGCAAAACUCUUAGGAAAAUUAAAAAAUGACCUCCUAAAAAUACUUUUAAGUCAGAUUUCCUUUUUAAAAAAGUACCAUCAAUGUAAAUAGGAUCAAAAUUAUCGGUAGAUAAGUUAUCCACAGAAAAAUAAAAAUAAAUAUUAUUGUAAAACCAUAAGUUUCUUCGCUCCACUCAGAAUCUGAAAUAAAAAUAUUCUAAGCGAUGUUCGGUUAACCGUGUUUUGAAAUACUGUGAUUUAUAAGAUUUUCGUUAAAAUUUGAACUAGAAAGGCUUUAAAAAAAAAAAAAAAAAAAAAAAAAAAAACAUUACGCUCAACUGUUACCACCAAGACAAUUUAUGAUGAACAUAACAGUAAAGUACGUUCAAACAUAUUGAAAAUGUUCAAAAUUGUUUUAUUCCAAAAAGUAAUUAUCAACACAUAAUAUUGUAUUUUGCAUAUGGAAGUAUUAUUUUAGGGAUUGCUUCCUUUUUUAAUUGAUAACAAGUGUGAAAUAAUUAUUCGAAAUUCAUAAAUGUAUAAUAAACUUUAGAGUACCCGUGGUUUUUAUGAAAAAUCAUCAUCUACGAUUAUUUAACCGUUUCGCUAAAAAUAAACAUCAUAAGUAUAUCGUAAAGAGGCGCAAAUUGCAACUAUUUGGUUCGCAGUGGUCAUUAUUACGAUUUCAUAUUUGCAAGAAUAUUAUUACUGUACCUGAUACUUGUAGGAAUUCACCUUUCGGUCUGCUUUCAUUACACUGACUAACAGAAAAUUCAAAAGCGUUCCAAAUAUCCGAGUCCUUUGUCGUUGCGCACGUCGUUCUGGAACGGCAACGACAAUAAUAGAUCGCCAACAGUUAUGCUACCUUAAACACACAUACACGCAUGCACUUGUGUGCCGUUUCAUUUAAGCACACGUAAGUUACAUAAUAAUAUACACAUUUGAAAACUAUACGUAGUAAAUCCAAUAUUUGUUCCCCAAUACCCUACAUCAUCGGCCAAACAAAUUGAUUUAACAAAAAUGUUCGAAAAAUUAUAAUUAAAAUUAAUUUUAAUUAUUUUAAACUAAUUUUCCAUCUCAAUUACGUAUAAUCAUUGGCGUGGUCAAGUAUUCGUUUCACCAUAAUAAAAUUUGUUGAAUUUAUUGAACUUUUCAAAUUAUUAUUAUUAUUAUUUGUAUGGAAUAAUUUUUUGUAGAAAUUGUAAGAAACUGAAUUUAAAAGGUGAUGUAUUAUACAGGGUGAUUUUUUUUAUCAUGAACCAGGAAUUAUCUCAAAGAAUUUUAAGUGAAUUUGAUUUCUGUUUUUCUAAUCAUUAUGGAAUCGUUUAAGCUUUAUUUUAAAGGUAUUUUUAAUAUUUUACCCCUAUUCCAUGUACCUUAAAUAACUAUAUAAAUUGCCUAUCUUUGACCCUUCUCUACUCCUCCGGUCUAAAUUUUAAACUGUUAUAACUCAUAAACGGUCAAAUUAGUUUUAUGCAUAACAAAAUUUCUAGAAAAAUAUUCUCUAAUCAAAUCUGUGUUCAAAAAAAGGGUUCCUAUUUAAAAUAUAAAUGUAUGUACUUAUUUAAGUUAUAAGAAGUAAGGGUAAAAUAUUAAAAAUAUUUUUAAAAUAAAGCUAAAACAAUGCCAUAAUGAUAAGAAAAAACAGAAAUCAAAUUCACUUAAAAUACUCCGAGAUAAUUGCUGGUUCAUGAUAAUAAAAAUCACUUUGUAUGCACUACAGGGUGUCGUACAGUGUAAUCUGAAUGCUAGUAACUCUGUCAAUAUUUAUUUUUUUCAAUCGGGUUUUGUAUCAGGGAGACACAAAUGUAUAGAAAAAUUAAAUUUUUAUUUAUAUCCCUUGAUUACUGAAAAAAAAAAAAAACAUUAGUUUUUUACAAUUUAAAGUUUCAAAAUAGCCAAUUUGUAAAAUAUAUUAUUCUACACAUUUUAAUGGUACGUUAAAAUACUUAUAUAUUCGAUCAAUAGUUUCUCAGUAAAAGUCGUUUUAACUUCUAGAAAAUUGAUGUGAUAAUAAUUAAUUUUCAAUAAAAUAACACGUGACGCAAUAUGGAAUAUUGCAAUCGGUACAAUCAGCAUACAUUUAAAUCCCUCAAAAAAAACUUGAUAGAAAAUGUAUUAAAAACAUGAAUAUUGACAGAAUCCGUCAUCUUAAUUUUAAUAGUACUAUUAUUAUUAUAACUUUAAUAGUUACAGCGAUCGAUUUGAAAAUGCGUUUUUGCGGUAAAUUAAUAUAAUAUCUUUUAUUAUUAUUUAUGUAUAAUAUGGUUUAAGUGUAUCGAUUACGGGAUGGUUUCCGAGUUUAUAUAGAAGUAUAAUAUUAUCGUGUAAAAUAAUAGUGUUUUCAGGACGGACGAAUCGAUACAAAAACGACGCUCGACGAUAGAGGCGCGAAAAUUAAACGAGACGCGUAAAAUAUAAAAGGGGCCGAAAGCACGAAGCAUCGAUAACGUUAAAAUAACGGACGAUGGAAAAUCCAGAAUAGUAAUAAUAUUAUCGUAUCAUCGUACAUUUUGUGUUAUAUAUUACUGAUUAGUAUAAUAUGAUACAGUUUUUUUAAAUUUUUUAUAUACUGCAACAAAUAUAAAUAUAUUAAUAAACGACUCAUUAUCAUAGUAAUAAUUAAUAUCGUGAGAUUAUUUUAUAGUAUUUUUUAAAUUUAAAUUCUAAGUAUAACUAAUAUGGCUAUAGUUUUAUUAAAAUGUGUUUUUCUAUGAAUACCGUAUUUUUUUCUUUAGAGUGAAAUGCUCCACAAAAUAUUCACCGGUUUACUCCCAAGAUCCUUUUUAUAUUUUUUAAAAUUUUUCUAGAAAAUAUAAACUAUUGUGCUGUAUUGUGUCUAUAAUAUAUAUAUAUAUAUAUAUAUAUAUAUAUAUAUAUGAAUGUAUUAUGUUAUAUAUGGAUAUUUUUUUUUCUAAUAUAAUAUUUGGACACUUUUAGCGGCUCCCUCUGGACCAAAAAAGCUCGGGAAUUACAGUUUUCUUUACAUGAGGGUUGAAGUGAUACAAUUUUGGUAAAAUUUCAAUAUUAUGUACUUUGCCGUGUUGUCGCGAGAGGAGAUUGUUUUCUAGCCUACACCCUUACAGACCCCCUCCCCAAAUGAACCCAAUGUGAUAAAAUUAUCAUCUCUUUUUCCAACCAUUUUUAUGCUCAGAUUUCAUGAUUUAACAAUAAAUAUAUACCUUUAUGGACUCAUGAAAGUAAGUAAAUUGAUUAAAAUAGGUAUGUAUAAAUAUAAUUUUCAUUAUGGGUGUGCCUUUAAAAGGUUUGAAUUUCCAACCCUCUAUCCCACCGUUCGUUUGUAUGUUAGCGAAAAUCUUGAAGACUUUUAGUUAAAUUCUUAAUUUCUUACAAUUAUAUUAAAAAAAAAAAAAUAAAAAUAAAAAAAAUGAGAUGUGUAACAGCAAAAAGUCAGCUGAUGGAGAAUUUAACUCUAGUGCGGGAGUUUUGCUGCUUAUGUAAUUUUAAAAUUUUGAGUUUAGCUAUUAGUUUUACUAAAAUAUGUUUUUCUCGAAAACCCUUUUUUUUCAUACUGUGUUAAACGCUCCGCUUUACACGCAGUGCUCUAAACGGUUAGGAUAGUCAUUUUACUCGAAACAUUAUUUUUAAAUACUAUACGGUUUAUUCCCUAGAUCAUUUAGUUAAAUUUUAUCGGGAAACACAGUUUUUUUACUUAUACUUAUCGUAGUAUAUUUUUUAUUAACCUUCCUAGUUUACCGAGCUCCGAUUUCUCUAUUGCAAUAGUUUUAUCGUUGGCUUCAGUAUUUAAAUUUACAAUAUUUAUAUCCUAUACACUAUACCCUAUGGCCUGUACAUUCAAAACUCCAGCGUGCAACUGCAAUCUACCCAGUGCUCUAUUUGCGAUUUGUUUUGAUUGGGAAGAGAGACGUAUAAACACAAUUUAGAAGGCAAAUUGCACCUAAAUCAUGCCCACCAAUAUUAUAGAAACCGGGUUACCCUAAACGGCCAAACCCUUAACACUUCCCACUAAUACGUCAAUGGGCGUAUACAAUAUGUAAACGGUUUUGUAUAGACAGUUUUAACGACAUUAAUUAUGAAAAUACAUAAAUAUAAAAUAUUUAUAAAUAGGUAUUAUAGUUUUUUAACUCCAGACAUUUUCACCUCCCGACGUUUUUUUCUCGGGCAUUUUGGCAGAACCCUAUUUAUCUAUAUUAUAGUAAAACUAAUAGAUUCCUUGCUACACCCUGAAUUUGAAAUAUAUCAAUUAAUUUUAAUUUUAAAAUUGAACAUAGUCGAAUUGCAGUUAAUUAUUGUAAUGAGUUGUGAAUUUUUUAAAAUUAACCAUAAUUAAAUUAAUAUAAAUAAUAUUCUAUGUUUUUCAUCAAUCAUUAGCGAUCGGUGCAUAUUGGUACGGUUACCUUGGUAGAUAAGAUAGCCGUAAACGGAAUUACGGUAUUUAUGCCAUGUGAAUGGUUGUAAAUAAUUAAUAACGCACUUAACAUAUAAAUAUUAAACUCAGAAUAUCUCGAUGAAAAAAAUCAAUUAAUACCUAGUAAUAUCCAAAGGAUCCAUUUGUCGGGUUUGUAACAUUAGAGAUGAUAUUUUUAAAUCUUUCACAUUAAAUAAUAUAUAAUAUUUAUAAAGAUAAAAAGAUGAUAAAAAAAUUAAUUUUUCCGAUAAUUAUUUUGUAAAAUUUGAAUUUGUUUUAAUGUUAAAUUAUAACUGUUGACAAUACAAUACAUUUCGAAGUAAAUAUUAAAACACUAUAACACACGUAUUUUUCAAUGUAUGUACUUCCGUAGUAUAACUUUCUCUCUUAUCAUUAUUGACACACUGAAACCAACUUAUUCUUCAAAUAAUAAUUCCAGUCCUUAAGUAAAAUUGUAAUCAAUAUCAAUAUCGCAAUUUUUACAAAUCAAUUGGCCAAAAUGUACAAUAGUUUUUCAGUUUUUAUUUUUUUGAUUAAUGUCUAACAGCGAUUACCAAGUAAAAACAAACAUAUAUUUUUAAAAGUGUAAAACGACACGUUACGUCGGGUCUAUAAUAUUAUAUUAUUAAUUGUUUACCUAUAAUAUAUUUAUUUUAAAUAAAUAAUAAUAUAAUAACAUAUAAAAUUAAAAUUAGAUGGUUGUAAUGAAGAGCAGGUAGUAUAUAAUAUUGUCUUUGUAAUAUUUGGGUAAUCGUAUACAAAUAUAUUCCAACAAUAGCAGUUCAAAUUAACCAAUUACAUGUACUUAUAGCAGUGUCAACAAUUUUGUAGGUAUAUUUUGUACAACAAUAGUCGUCAAAAAUAGUAAAUAGAUCGUUAAUCGAGAUUUCGAAAUAUUCAGACCACUGCUACUGCUGCUGCUGUUGCUGUCGACUGUUUUAUGUGGCUUUUCAGAGUUGAGCAAAAUUAUUCGCUGCCCGAUUUCCGGCCAAAUUGGUGACUUUAGACCGAUGUACCGUUUUAUUAUGUCGAACUCAGAUAUCUCUAAAUCAUUCGAAAAAAAACAUAAUACAAUUCCAUCAGUGGAAAUAAUUAUAGCGCAAAAUGCCUGCAGAUGAUCAAACGCGCGAUACGAGAAGAAACUUUGAAUAAAUUUGACGUUUUAACGGUAUUUUUUGCAUUCAUUAUAAUGUAGAAUAGGUCAUUAAUUUUAUACAGGGUUAUCAACUCUUGAUAAGACACUCAUUAUCUCGGAAAGUAUUUUUCGGAUUUCGGAUAUUGGACAAUUUAUAAAAGAAGUAGUUCUAAAAUGUUAUAUUACCGUUAUUUUUUGUCACCCUUAUUUUUGGCGAUGACACGAAUAAUAAUUUUUUUUUUCAAAUACCAACAUGUAUAAAAAAUUAUACAAAUAGAUGUCGUUUUUGUAUAAAUACAAUUUGUAAAAAUUUUAAAACUUUCUGGGAUAAUGAGUAAUGAGAAUAAUGUUGUUCUACUGCUGUAUUUCGAUACACGUACAUUAUGGAAUGUGUACGGUUUUUUUUUUCAACAAUUUGUUCAAAUUGGCGUUUUCAAAAUAAUAUAAUUGAUUGUUAUUUGGAAAUUAACAGUCGAUAAUAGUAUUAUAUCGUAUUUAUAUUGAGGUAUACGGAGUAUAAGUGUGGGUUUUUUAGAAUAUCAUUGAAAAUAAAAUAAUAACAUAAUGUCUAGGAGGGGGGAUUCCUUAAAAUCCUCGUAUGGAUCUGAUCACCGGUAUUUGCGACAAAAUUCAAUCGCAAUACUUUAUAUUACUGUAUAAUAUACUCACCGAAACUUUUAUAACCGGCGAUAUUUGUAAACGUGAAACCGUCUCCCCCGUUCGCUAAGUACCUGGUCAUGAUUAUCGUAUAAUUUUCAUCCAAAUUUAAUUUCUGAUAAACCGGAACGGUGCAUUCUCCACACCUAGCUUGUAUCGAUUGUACCCGCUUGCCAAUGGGCUGACCCAAGUCUAUGACGACCCGUAAACCUAUUUGACGAUAUCAAAUACAUAUUUUAUAUAAUUCCGUUCAAUAAGUAAUACCUAUACCGAAAAAACAAUGUCAGUAGUGGAGUAGAAAUGUUAAUACAGAUCUUCCAGUGUUAUCGGUUUCAAAUGAAAAAAAAAAAAAAAAAACUUUAAAUUACCAUGACUUAGAGAGCCUGUAUACUGGCUUGUUGUCUAAGAGAUUUGUUAAAACAAUUAAAUUUGGUUUUUUAUAUUUUUAGUGUUUGAUAAUUAUUAUCUAGUAGUCUAUAGGUUUACAAAUAUUAUUAAUUUUAACUCCAUACAUGAUAACAAUUUUAUUUUUAUUCAAGUGCACAUCGUGUAUGAAGUACAUUUGAAUCUGUCACUGUGAUGUGUGUAUUAUAAAUAAAGGGGCACAUUUCAAUGUUAAAUAUAAAUUAAAAAUAAACAAAAAAUAAUAGUGUUUAUUCAAAUUAUAAAAAAAAAACACCAUAUAAUAAUGUAACAAUAUAGGAACAUUGUUUAAACUUUGUUGUAAACAAAUGCGUUGCAUGUUUUAUAAUUCAAAAAUCUACCCCGUGUCAAAAUUAUCAAUUAAAAGCGUUUUAUAAAUUGUAGUAAUUAUAAAUAAAAUAUGUAUAGUAAAUAUACUACUAGGCAACCAAAUUAAUAUAAGUAAACGUUAUAAUAUAGUUAUGAUUUUUGAUCUUUGUUUCCAAAAAGUUCUUACGGAAAACAAGAUUAAAAAAAAAAAAAAAAAUGUAAGUAAACAGAUUAUUAUUUUUGUUUAUUACAAAGAUGGCAAAAUAUUUCUUGUUUUGUAACACAGUAUGAAAACCAGUGUGACUAACUAUUUUUAAUUGUUUAUUGUAUUCGUUUAAGUUACUUUAACAAAAUAUAUUAACUAAAUUAAAUUCUGCUCCAUCCUCUCCUAUCCUAUAUCGAAUUGAUAACGUAUUAAGUAUUAUCAUAUGUAUUAAACAUUGCAUUAUGGCGAUGGUCCUGCAUAUUGAUAUAACUAUGAUUUGAUUGAGCAAAUUACGUGAAGGCGUUUUCCUAAAUUAUAUCUGAAUAUCUCGGCCAAAACUACGUGUGACAACCCGUUCCCCGGCUGGUAAUAUAGAAGAUCAAUUGCGCGUAGUUACUUUGCCUAGUACAGUGAUAACCAUACAACAGUGGUUCCCAACUGGUGGUUCGCGGACCACCGGUGGUCCGUGGACUCAUCUUAAGUGAUCCGUGAAUAAAAAAAUUUAAAUUUAAAAAAAUGAGCGAAUUUAUACUUGAUAUUUUUUAUUAUUAACGGCUUAGCGCCUAACAGCCAGAUAACACACUAUCGCGACCGAUGAAAAUUUAUGUACGGAUAUAAAUAACAUUAUCUAUAACUAUAACUAUUAUCUAUAAAAAAUAAACAACGAAAUCGUCUGAAUCCAAGUGAUGAUAUGCGACUGGCACUAAGCAACAGCAUCGUUCCAAGAAUUUCACAACUGGUAAAAGAAGCGCGCCCUAUUAAGUCACAUUAAUACUCAAUAAUAUUAAUUUGUUAUAUUUUUUCUCAUUGAAUAAGUUAAUCAAUAUAAGUUCGUAAAAUGUAAAAUUUAAAUUUGUAUUAGCUUUUUUUAUUAAAUUAAAUUUUUAAAUAAAUAAGUUAAAAUAUUUUUCUACGACAUAAACUGUAUUUCUGAUUUUAUUUUGUACCUAGAAAUUAUAAACCAUAUAUAAAACUAUAAAAAAAAUAAGUGAUAUAAAGAGGGGGGGGGGUUUGAAAUCAGGGAUUGGUCCGUGACGGUGAAAAAUUUAUAAAAGUGGUCCGUGCCUAUUGUUGAGUUGGGAACCACUGCCAUACAACAUUAUACUUAUAUUUCCUAUUCGGGUUAUAGGGGUAUAUUAGUUGAUAAAUGAAACAUUUGAUUUUCGACGCCAUUUCUUAAAUAAAAACACUUAAGUAGAAAACGUAGGAAAAUGUACAAUUUUACAAUUUCAUUAUUUUAUAAAAACACGGACGACGUUUUCUACCAGAAAAAAAUGAUUUCAUCGAAAAAUCACGACACCUUUUUGUUGCCUUUUUGAUUUACUUUCUACGGUAUUAUCGGCAACAUUUUUGAGCCACUUUUAAACCUUUAAGAAAUUUUAAUUUUGGGAGUUUUUUCGCUGUAAUUCGCUUAUAUAAAUACACGUAAAGACUUGAAACUUGGUAAUGAUACCUAUAUUGGACUUACCUAAACGUGGUUAAAUUUCCAAAAUCAUCGGACGCUUUUUUGUCGUUUUCAAUAAGCAUUUUAAAAUCAAAUUUAAACGAAAAUAGCAAAAAAAAAUUAUUGUACUCCAAAUUAUGUAUAGCCGAAAUGCGCUCGGAAUUGUCUUUCGUCAAUAAUGGUUUGUCGUUGCUACAGAUAUAAAUGAAAUAAUCUUAUGUAUCCUACCUUCCCAACUUCCCAUCUACAACAGUGGCUACAUCUGUCCCCAGUAUCGUUUUUUCUAUGUUUUUUCCUUCAUUAUAAUUAAUGAAGGAAAAAACAUAUAAAACCAAAUUUUCUUUCAGAAAAGAGUAACACUUGAAAAUCGGAACAAAAUCAAUGGUAUUAAAGUUGUUUAUAGAUAAAAAAAAUUAAAAAUUAAUAUCAUAGUAAAAAUAAUACAUUCAUCAGAACCUAAAAUUUAAGAAAAUGUGUUAAAUGAAAAUUUAAUUUUCCAUAGGUUCUUUAUAGAUAUAAAUAUGUAUUUUGAAUUUUCUGUGAUUUUUGUAUGAAUUUUAUAUAUUUCUAAAGAAGUACCACAUAAAAAAUAAUUUUUCAAGGUUCAUAAAUAUAUAUACGCUUUAGAGUACCAUGGUGGAAUCGGAGGAAAUCUUUUACUAUCAGUUAUUACAUUUUCUCCUAAAAUGUAGACUAUUUUAUAGUAAUCUUGUCUGUUAUGCAUAGAUAUAUCUUUUCCUUGCUACUUUAAAUAUUUUUAAUGGUUCUCUCUUGAUUAAAUGAGCUCAAAAUCCUGAAUUAGAGUAGUUUUAUAUACAGAUUGAUGUGGUACAAUUAUCGUUGCAGGUGAAGGGCUUUUUUAUUGCGAUUUUAUAUACAUGUAUAUUAUAUACAUAUAUAGGAUGUCCCAUUCGGAUUUUCAACUAUUUACACCUUCCCGUCCAUUGUUAUGCCCAAAUUUCAUGCUUUCACAAGAAAUACUGGGUUUUAAAAUUUACUAAAACGUAGUAAAACUCUAUAUUAGAUCAAUUAUUUAGAAAUACAAAAAAUUAGAUAUUUAAAUAUUUAAACGACGAUAAGUUGACUAAACACAAAUUGCACUUUAGUGAUGGAAUACUGCUACUCACAUGUGUUAACAUGGUUAUAACUACACAAAACGAAAUUAUUUAAUCUGUAAUAGUUAUCAUACCACCAUUUCAUACUUCAAAGUAUAUUAUUACUAUACCUGAUACUUGUAGGAAUUCACCGUAUAGAAUUUUUUCGUUGUACCGGUGAACGGAAUAUUCAAAAGCGUUCCAAAUUUCCGAGCCCUUUAUCGUUAUCUUGCCUACCUCGUUCUGGAACGGCAACGACAAUAACAGAUCGCCAAACGUUAUGUUACCUUAAACACACACACACAUAUAUGUGCGACGUUAUAUCUAAGCACACAUAAAAAAUAAUAAUCACAUACGAAAAACUAUAGAUGGUAAAAUCGAUAUUAUUUCUAAUUUAUACCUAUUCUGGAAAUGUGAUUAAUGUUUGAUCGAAUUCCACCACUUUGCAUUAUUGCUAUCGGUGCGUCGGUCCAGGAUUUGGUCGAUGAGCCGACCGGUUUCACGUUAGUCCAUAGGUUCUAUUUACAGGACAACCGAUUUUUAUUCAGUAUUACGCACAAAAAACUAUCGAGAAUAGAAAUAUUUUAUACUCUAAUCAAAAAAACAGCUCAACGUUCCACAAAUAUCACUGAUAAAUUUAUAUUAAAUGCCCUAAAAUCCAGUAAAAUAAGCGAUAUUUUUAAAAGUAUGUUGCUAGUAUUCAUUGAUAAAUAAUGCAACUUCAAAUAAUAAUUAUAAAAAAAUGAUUUUUAAAUUAUUUAGUAAAAAGAAGAUAAUGCACAUCGUUACAUUUAAAUACUUCUUAUCUUAAAAAGUAAUAACUUUUUUCGGAAUUUGUUUUAUAAGACAUUUAAAGGAAAUUUUCCAGUUGACAGAAAAAUGAUAAGAUGACAAGUUUAACACAAUAGAGUUUCCAACAUUCUAUACUACAGAGGUGGCCAAAAGUCACGCAACGCCUACCGUCUUGUAUGGAACGCGCGUUACGGCGCAGUUUCUCCCUCCACGUCGUUUUCAUUACAUCAUAUUGUAACUUUGGUCUCACUAUCUUAUUUACGUACAACAACAGCAACAAUUAUAAAAAAAACAACAUAACCAUGCCAUUAUGCGGUUGUGGUUCGUGAUUUUUUGAAUAAAAACUUCAACGAAUGGAUUGGUCGCCGUGGGACGACGGAAUGGCCCCCAAGAUCACCCGAUCUCACAUCUUGUGAUUUCAGCAUGUGGGGAGUUAUCAAAGAUCGAGUUUACAAGACGCCAAUCUAAAAUUUGAUUUAUUUAAAAAAUCGAAUCGAGGAAGAAUUCUAAAUUUUGAGCACCGAUUAUUCGUAUCUUUACAAUGCCACAAACGUGGUAAAAAAAACGUUGUGGAGCAGUUAUUGAAGCUGGAGGACAUAAUUUUGAACAUUUAUUGUAAUUGCCGUAAGAUGAUGUUACUUUGUAAUGUUAAUUUUUAUAUCAUUUUUUUUUUUAUUUGAAAACAUAAACGACUUUUUUUACUAUUACAAAUUGUGUUGCAAAUAUGUUGCGCGACUUUUGGCCACCUCUGUAUAAAUUGUAUACCCUUACGGUAAUGUGACCAGCCUAUCUCAAAAUAAAAAUUGGCUCGUACAAUUGUUUAACUCUUAUCGUUUACACAACCUUAAAAUAAAUAUAUUUUAUGUAACCACUAAUCACCAAGACAUUCAGUAUAACUUUUGAAGCUGUUGCCAUCGUUUGUAUUCAUCUUAUUCACAAUUUCUUAUUAUUUAUCACAAAUAUUCCAUAAUAUUUAUUACUCGUAUUCUACUUAUAGUUGUCUUAACCAUUAGAUAAAAUUAAAAAUACAAUACAAUGAAGCUAUGCUAAACUGGACAUUUUGAAUUAAAAUGUAUAUGAAUGAAUAAAAGUAUACAGCCAUGGAUAUCCAUCAUUACUUAAUUUGUUUGAAAAAGAAAACAGGUUAUAAAAUAAAAAUGAUCUUUAGGUUAGUUAAGUAUUAAAUAAAGAAAUUAAAUAUAUUGAAUAUAACAAAAAUGAUUGCAUAUCUCCAUAGGACACCUGUAUAUCACAAAUACAUAGUGUUAUUAUUUUAAAUAAUUUAAAACAUAUUUUUUCCAUAUUGUUGGUAUAACUACACUUUUAUUUAAAUUUUAUCUUUUCGAUAUUGAUAUCACUGCAAGUCGCUGUAGCUACAAUUACCUUAUCAUUUUUCUAACAACUGGGUACUAACCUAUAUUUAAGAAACAAGCAGCUCUAAAAUUUUACAUUCAUGUUAAUUUCUAUCACCCUUUUUUCGUGUAUAAGACUACUAGGUAUCUACUUUUGAUUUUAAAAUAGCAACCUGUAUUUAAAUAUCCAUAAAUAGAAGGAGUAUUAGUUAAGAUAAAUUUUGGUGUUGAAAUUUAUUAUUUCCAUCAAUCCAUACAUGGGAUAUUCCACUUUUAAGUUUGGGUUGGGGAAAGUAUGAUUGAAAAUUAACAUUAGGUAAUGGGUAGUUUUACCCCUAAAAAUAAGAGUGACAAAAAAUAUUAUAAAUUUAAAAUUGUAAAGCUGUUUGUUUUUUAAAUGUUCUAACUAACCUAGCCUAACAAAACAAAUCCCAAAAAAAUUAACACUUUCCGAGAUAAUGGAAGAAUGAAUGAGCGUUCCCAGUUAAAUGAAAAAUGUAAUUUUUCAUUGAAAAAACGAAAAUAUCCAAAAAUACGAAGUAAAAACUGACUUUAUUGUUACAAAUUCCGAACUUUAUACUUCUAGAAAACUAUAUAAAUUCACGGCCCUUAUAUAUAAUAUUAAAAUUUGUAAUGAUUCUUAAACUCACGUAGUCUAUAAACGCGUCCGUUAUGAGAUCGCCGAAAUUGCACUCUCUGACCCUACAAUACUUGUCGAUACCUUCCAAAAACACACUUGUCGAACCUAUCACUUCUUUUGUCUUGAAGUUUAUGAGAUUAUCAAAAUCUUUUAUUUGGUUCAAAAUGUUGUGGUCUGUAAACGGAAAUAUGUACACAUUUAGGUUACAUUAUUAUCAUUAUGAACUAUCAAUUUUGAAUAGGUACAAUUUCUUUUUAAAAUAGGUUAUAUUUAUAAUAAUAUACCUUGCCCGAAACGGUAAUCCAACAAAACAGGAUUCCCGUAACUUCGAAUCACUUCUCCUGCCUCGUCAAAUUCUAUCCACAAUUUUCCCAAAUAUUUGGUCAGAUGAAACGCCUGUACUACGGGCACUUCUCUAUUCGUUCUUGGUUGUUUUACCAUAAAUGGAUACUGGCCGACGGGUUCGUCGAUGGGGUCUGGCGGAUCUCCUGUAUAAAACAACAUAAAACUUGUUGGCCAUUUUUUCCCGUGUAUUUUUUAAAAUGUUUUAUCGUGAAAUUCACCAUUGUAUAAAAACGUGUUGGUAUGCCCACCGAUCACCAGAUCGAUAUCGUCCACUUGUUCCGCAAUUUUUUUGUCUGUAUCAAAACCGGAAUGCCCCAGUGCUAUAAGAAUAUUCACCCCUUCGUUUUUCAGGCGUUUCGCUUCAGCAGUUAUCGAUGGGAUUUCUGGUAAUAUUUUUAAAUUACCCACGAACGCUAAAUACUGUAUUAAUACGCAAAAAUAACACAUUUUUCAAUAGAUAUAAAUACAUUUCAAGUUUUAAUUUUUUUUACACAGUGGCAGUUACCUGAAAGAGGGUGGGGUGAUCGGAACAUUCGCUCCCCUCCUCCCGUAGACCUUAUGCAUGUGUGUAUUGUUAUUUUUUUGUAAUGUUUUCACAAUUGUUUUCAAAAUAUAUUUUUUAAAGUAACUAGUUAAUAAUAUAUGGUGGUCGAACACAUAGGUAUAAAAUAUUUUUGUUAUCCGUUUCUAUGGUAGAAAUGGAUAAGGUUUCUGAUGUUAUCAUUUUUUUUUGGCGGUUCGACCGUUGUUUCCUAUCAUUGAUUUCUAAUUACAAAAUAAAUGUGUCUGGAUCGUUUAUUUAGGCUUGUACUAUGCAUAUUUACCAGGAAAAAAGUAACCAGUGGAUGAUAUUAUUAAAAAAUUCUCUUCUAUGAAAAACCAGAGGUGAGACAAUAUGUUAUACAUUUAUGACAUGUAUUAUAAUAUUAUAUUUAUUUAAAUACAAAUUCCUUAUUUCAUGUGUUAAAAUGUUAUAUUUCACAAACCUAAUCUAACCUAACUUUUUAAGUACCCAAUCUCUGUAAUUAUUAAGACAAUUGUUGUAUCUGCGACAUUACUUUUUUAUGGAAUUUUCUAUUUUAAGAGUGGGUAAAAAUAUAUUUCACCCCUCCCCUAAAAAAAGCUUAGGUUCGCCACUAUUCUUACAUUUGAAUAUUCGUAAAAAUAAAAAACAAGUCAAUUAUCAUAUUUUAUUUAAUUUUUUUACAUACUGAUGUUUCCGGCGUCAAGUAUCCGAUAAUGCCGAUUUUGCGACCGUUGACCGUGAGCACCUUGGAUUUCAUUAAAUUUGGCUCAUUAGCCAAUGAAGGUUCGCCGGUUAGAUCGAGAUUACUGGCCACUACCGGAACGGUUAUGUUGUGUAUGAACAACUGGACGUCUUGCACGCCGUCGUCGAAUUCGUGAUUUCCCAAACUCUAUAACGUACACGUAAUUCGUAUUAUUAACAAAAUAAUAAUUUAUUAAAAUAAUUUCCAAACUAAAAAAAAACGAACAUACUUCACAUAAUGGGCGGGCCACUAUUGCAGGUGAGAAGUUGGGAAGGUAGGAUAUAAAGAGGAAAUUAAUGUAUUGUAUGCAAUAAUAAAACAUUGCUAACAGAAAAGGAUUCUGAGCGGAGUUCAACUAUACUUGUUUUAAAGGCCGUAGUAUUUACAAUUUCCUUCAAAAUUUGAUAUUGAAAUUCUAAUAUAAAAAACAAAUACUACAUUAAACUCAACGUUUUCUUGUUGACCACUAGGCACCAAGGUACAACUUAUAAUGAACGUCCUGUUAAAUUGUCAAUCAUUUAUAUUUGGUCUAACAAUUUUUUUCACAGUAUACCUAAUGAACAAAUAUUACGUUAAAAAAUCGCAAAGUUAAAAAUGUUUAUAAAUAGCACAAAAAUUAUUCAAAUGUUUUGAAUAUUUUAUCACUUCAAUAAAAGCAAAUAUAAUGUCUCUGUUCAAAUUUCAAGUCUCUGCGAACAUUUCGAACUGAAUUACAAAAAAAAAAAAAAAAAAAAAAAAAAAAAAAAUAAAAGCAUUAUUUUCGUACAUUUUUUCUUUUUCUUAUAUUUUUUACGGGUUUUCCCAAUUAUUAUCAAAUCGUUUUGAAAAUUAAUAAAUUACCUCCUUAGAGUAUCAAUGAGAUAAAAUGUCCACACAAUAUACAAUUCAACCAAUACUCUCGAUAACGUCGUCUAUUCUUCAUCCUCAUUGUUUCCCACGUCGUUUAUUUUUCGUGCUCUUUGUUUUUCACGUCUUAUCACAGUACCUUUAUUUACUGCAAAAACCUAUAUUCAAUUAUUUUUUGGCCUACUAAUUUUCUCAUUUAUUUAUUAUUAUUUUUAUUUUUUUCUAGGAAUAACUUUUCUACCAGACAUUUUCCUCCGACUUUGAAAUAUAGCGCCUUUUUUGAAAGGAAAUAUUAUUUUGUUGAUACUCUUAGGAGGUUAUUUUUUAAUUUUCAAAAUUAUUGGGAAAAAAUGUAAGAAACGGGAAAAUUUACGAAAUGUAUUAUUUUCAAUUUUGAUUUUAAGUUAUAAUCUAGUUUAAUAUAUUCGUAGAGAAUUAAAAUUUGGAAAGAAAACUUCUAUUUUCCUUUCUUAACUUGGUAAAAUUUUCAAAAUAUUUGAGCUAUUUUUGAUAUUUUUAUUUUGCCAGUUUUUAAGUAAUUUUUAUUCUGUAGGUACUCUGUGGAUAUAAUUGUUAGACUAAAUAGAAAUGCUUGAAAACUUAACACGAGGUUCAUUAUAAGUUUAUUAUCAUGAAUAAAAAAAAAGAACUGACUUCAGAACAUUACGUCAAAGGUAGCAUAUAAAUAGGACUUUUUGGAUAUACGUUCUUAUUCUUUUACAAAAUGUCAUACUGUGCACACAAUCCCUGAUAGAGUCUAGUUUGUUAUUUAUAUAAUGUUAUACAUAAUUAUAUAACUAGUCAUGUUGUUUACUUUAACUAUAUAUCAAAGUCCUUAGUUUACUCAAACUUCCAAUUCUAACAAAACUCGUUUGUGAAAAUUGAAUUUUAAAAUUUUAAAUCAGACAAUAGGCGAGUUGCUUAAUCGGCCAAACCAUGGCCAAAAUGCGUUAUUAAUUGCGUUUUUGGAGUUGCCUGAACCACCCGGCCGUUUGAGCAGUGCUUUUCACGAGCAGCUAUUUUUACCUCGAGGUCGGUAAAGGUAUCUUUAAUCGUGCUGUUCACUCAUUUACCUCACUUGUUUCGUCUUGUGUACUAUGUAGUUUGAUUUGAAAAGAAAAUAAUAUAGCGUUUCACUUCAUUAAAUUUAACUAUUAUUAAUAUAAUUUAUUAUUAUCAAGAUAUUGUGAGAGUCGAAUUCAAGUAUUUAUUUACUGUGUUUCGUUUUGUAUUGUAUUGUACUGUGUAUUUUUUUUGGAAAUAAAAUAAAAUGGCUUUUCACUACUUCGUUAAAUUUAUUUUAAAUGGUGAUAAAACAAUUUUUCAUGGCAAAGUCAUGUAAUUUUUAAUGACGAACAAACAAAAACUAAACGCUUUUGAAAAAUGAACAGAUAAAAAGCAAUGAUAACGAUGUCCCACCGUUCAUUCGGUUUUCAAAUGAAUUGCCUUUAGAUAGUGACUAAAAUCGAAAUUUGUAUGUUUUGUUUGAUCAAGUUUUUAGCCUAUGUACCUGAUUUAGAAUAUUAUCGUAGAGGAAGAAACAAAAAAAUCCGAGAUCUGACAGGAGUUUCAGAGAUUACUAACUUUGUGAAAGUGCAACGAAAAAAAUGGUUCGGACACGAGAUGGGGAAGGCCGACGCAGAGGAUAUAAGAGCAUUUGUCGAGUGAAAUCCAACAGGAAAUAUAGCAAGAGGGCAUUCAAAGAAGCAAUAGAUUAAUAGGAUAAUGUAGGAUGUCCAGAAUAAUAAUAAAAUAGGAAGAAAAAUUGAAAAAUCGUGAGGAGUGGGGGGAAAUAGCGAUAGAGGUAAAAACUCUUGAAGAGUUAUGAUGCCAAGAAAGAAAAAUGAAAGUAAACGUUUUAAACUCUACGAGUUCGUUAUCAGACCGUUUUUUCCUGUUUAACAUUCGAUUAUAUACUUGACGGUUCAUAGCGUAAUCAUUAAAUUUUACUAUAAAACGAAUCCGAUUUUCCGUAAAUUCCUGUUAUUUUUACAAAUAUUCCAUUGAGUCGUUAUAAAUUAUAUUUAAUAUUAUCUCGUUUCUCUUUGUACGCAAGGUUAUACUGUUGUACACUGCUGUACAUUAUUUAUCAAAACUGUUUCACGUAUUCGCAUAUCUAAUAUGAAAAAUUCGCGUUAUGUCAGUUGACACUAAAUUAUUAUACUUAAUAUUAUUAUUCCCUGAAACUUAUACGGCCGCGCGAAUAAUAAUAUAUCAUAAUAUAUUUCUAAUAUAUUUGUUUAAACCCAGACCAAAUUUGAGACGCCGUUGUGGCGAAUAAAACGUUCAUUUUAUUUUUCGUCAUUUGCAUAUUAAGCCCUCAAAGCAAAAACGUCUUAAAUAAUUAUUGAGAACAUUUUUGAGAAAAACGUGUUUUUAUAUUUUGCAUUUUCUAACAUUCAUAAUACCAAGUACGUUUUACUUCUUGAGGCUAUAGCUACAUUGGACCCGUUUCCGAUUCGUUUCGAUACGACUGACCCAACCGGUACCUUACUCAUCCGAUAUGUGUGGCUACAUAAUUUCCGAUUUUGUAUCGACGAUUAUUUAUAAGCAUUCACCGACGCUUAGAGUGCUCAUGUUUAUUAGCCGUGUUUAAUAUUACACAGUUUCUAUUCAAUAUAUUUUUAAUUUCUAGCAGCUCAGAUGACGAAUGGGAUGAUUAACUGGAUAAUAACAAUAAUAUGUUAUAUUUAAAUGAUUCAAGUUGGAUAAAUCAUUUAUGAACAAAUUUUACAAAUGAGAAAUAUUUAAAAAAGUAUUAAGUAUUAAAAGUAUUAAGCUUCGAGAAUAUAUUCUGAUAAUUUAAUCUAAUUUGGUCCAAGUGAUUGGAAGAAAAACAAACCUGUUAGUUUUAUUCUGACUUAUCCGACUAGUCGGUGCGUCGGGAACGAACAGCACGAAUAAAUAUAGCUAUUGCCGAUAAUAUACACGGUUAUGUUUUUCUUUCGACCAGUUAAACUGUCGAAUCGAGUCAGAUCUGAUCGGAAAAGAGUCAAAUAUGCACCCUUAGCCUAAAGUAUGACACAUUAAUUUUUAUACGUCAUUUUACCAGAUAAAUGCAAUGCAAUACAAAUUAAUAUGGAUAAAUAAUUGUUGACGUUUUUAACUAACUUUUUAUAUUGUAAUUUAUAUUAUGACUAUUAUAUUUUAAUGACGUGUUGGUUACAAAUAUAUUUUACACGUGUCACAUUAUGAUCAAAAAAACCACAAUUUGCAGUAAGUAUAAAUGCCACAAAUUUUUAUUUUUAUUGUAUACUAAGCAAAAUUAUCACAUCUUCAUCAAUAUCUAUGGUGUUUUUGCUUAGUAUGGUUAUUAUUAAACGGCGUUUUUAUGCAGUAAAAAUACAUUUUUUGACCAUUUACGUUCGGUGAAAACAAAUAUUACCGAGUAGUUAUUUUUUAGGACAAUGUUUUAAGCAUAUAGUAUAUAUAUUUUUUAUGUAUUUAAAUCAUUUUUUAAUUCUUUUGGACUUACGGCAGUUUUGCUUAUGAAGGCAAUAGAGAUACUAUAUAAUAUAAUAAUUUUUACCCAACCUUGUCUAACGAUGGGUUCUAGUAGAUGGGUAUUUAAGAAGAUAGGAUAUAUAGGGGAAAUUAAAUUGUAUACCGUACGCAACGAUAAACUAUUACAAAUGAAAAAACAAUUCUGAGCUAAGUAUUAUUAAAAGUGUUUUUCUAUUAAACCCAGAAAUCAGCAAUAAAUUUUUCCUUUUUAACAAUUAUUAAAAAAACGAGAGCGAAAAUCACAAAAUAAUCAACUCUGUGGAUGCACUGAUCAACAAGAUGGUGUUCUUUCAGAAAAUAUGCUUUUCUAGGUAAUCAGUGUGAUAUUUCUAGUACAAAAAUUGUUAACAUACAGGAAAACAAUCCAUUAGGUAUCAUAAAAUCUAUAUGCGUUGUAUUGUAAGGAUAUUAAAAAAAAUUAAAAAUGUACAUACUUGCAGCUGAAUUUUUAAAUAGAAAUAAUAUUUUUAUUUGUUUAUUUUUAAAAAGGAAUACCGCGUAAACGCAUUUACCACCGUAAAUCAACGCCAAAAUCCACUUUAACUAAAACAUCAUCUGUUUAAAAAAUUUUAAAUUUAGACGAUGAUUAUUGAAAAUCAAAAUUCGGUAAUGGUUGUUCCCAAAAUAAUGACAAAUAAAUGUCUCUCGUGAUGAUUUUAUAUUGCACAAGAACGGUGUAACAGGUACCUCUAUACGAACACUGAGUCCCGACGGAAACGGAAUAUAUAAUUGAACUUUUUUUCUCGCUUUCCGGUGGGAACAAUAUAAUAAUAAGCGUCACAUGUGUGUAGUCGGAAUUGUUUUCAUAAUACAAAAGUGGAGAGGAGGAAAAUAAAAAGGGGCGAGUGUUGCAGGUUAUAAUAACAUUAUACAAUCGUAUUUUUUUUUUAAAUUACCCGUUCGAAUAACGUGCCGAGAGUGAUGUCGAGACGAUUUAUUAUUGCGUGUAAUAAAAAUGACGAUUCUAACUAGGUAGGUAUUAUAAGUACCUAAAUUGUGCUUAUUAUUUUUUGAAUAUCGGACGUAAAUCUGUCGUGUAUCUCGCGUGGUGCAACCCAAACUGUUUCCAUCCGUUAUUUCUUUCCCGAAAUGUGUCACGUCGAAAAUGGCUUUACGAGGAUGUAAAUUCCCAAACAAGUUUUAUUGAAUAAAUUUAAAUUAUUGGAGUUUGAAUUUUACGUUUCAAGCAUUCUAUGCUUAUAUGGAAUAUUGUUAAAAGAAUUUUAACUAGUUCAUCGAAUUUUAUCGGGUGAUUACAAAUGGCAUGAUUACGAACGUUUUUACUUGCUAUUUUUAGUGCGGAGUUGCCAGAUUUGAUGUUUGUCAAUUAUUUUUAUAUAAUAAAUAUAUUUAAUAUUAUUAAAAUUUUCUUUUAUUUUCAUAUAAACAAAUUAUAUAAGGUUAACAACAAUGGUUUCUUGCUAUUACACCGGGCGAUAACAUACAUAUCAAUAACAUUAGUCCUAAAUUGAUACUAAUUUGAUGGAAACCAGCUUGAUUCGUGUAGUCGUGCAGUAUUAUCGUGAUUCUCGUGUUGUAUAAUAUUUUUACCGAGAAAAAAUUUAAACCAUUUUAAACUCAAUAAUUAUGUGUCAUUUUAUUUUAAUAUAUAACGUAGUUAUAAUAUUUAUAAUUGAACCUCCAAAUAGAAUAAAACAUAUUUAGAAAAAUGUACACUAUCUAAGCUUAACAAAGAAGUCUCAGAAAACGUACACAAUCGUUCGUUUUUCAGAUAAAAAAAAAAUUAUUUGAUAAGCGACAUACGUUCGCAAUUGUGUUAUAAAAAUAGAAAAACGUUCGCAAUCGUGUUGCAUCCAAUUUUAUCAAGUUUCGACUUUAAUAAUAAGUACGUAAUAUCUAUCACAAAAUACAGAAUACAAUGUAACUUGAUAUGCCAGUCAGUCAGUUUGUGAUAGCCGUAGUUUAGUCGUGUAUAAUAUAAUAAAAUUGUACAGUGAAAAAUGUAAAGUAAAAAUCUGAAAAAAAAGGUGCAUAGAAAAAUAUCCGUUUUCUUUCGACAAAAAUUGGUUGUCGACCUAAAACGGUGGAAAUUUACAACACGUGGUUGUAAAUCUUUUUUUAAGAAUAACAGUAUUGGCGAAAUAUAUGAUAUACAUUUGGAACAUAAUCAUUUACAUUUAUAUGACAAUUUUUUAAGUAGGAGGGAUAUAAGUAAUAGUUCAUCAUCGGGUCAUCAGGGUCAAAAGCGCCUAUUUCAUUGUUCUAUUUCGAGCGUUCUCGUACGCUAGAAAAGGUCGAGCGUUUUCAAUCGUAUUGUUACCCUAUGUUUCCCAUAACGGACACUAUCUUCCCCUGACUUACUGUGUUUUGCCCGAAAAAACAUCAGUCUUCUACGGAAAAGCUCUUUCAGCGUUGUGUGAUUUCAUAAAUCCAUAAGUUACAUUCGUAGAUUUUGAAGAGGCUAUUCACUCUGCAGUACAAAAACCAUGAAUAUCGGUGAGUAUAAAGGGAUGCAGAUUCCAUUUGGGUCAAAUUUGAAUUUGGAAUUGACAUAUUUAUAUAAUGAGAGCCGUUUGGGAAUUGGCCUUUUUGUAAAAUGAGAGCCGAAUGGACUAUAGCCAUCUUGCGAUGCUACAAAAUCGGUUUUUUUUUUUAACUUCAUUUACCGGAGAGAAAUAAUCACGAGAUAAUAAUAAACUUACGUGAAAAACAUGUAGAUCCGUUGACUAUGCACUGUUGAGCAACAAUUUGUCAGACAACCAAAAAUAAAUAAUUUGUGUUUUUUUUCCUUUUCAAGAGCUAUUGUUGAUUUACCGUAAAUAAUAUCAUAGAUAACGUAUUUAGCCAUUUAAUAAUUUUCAUCAUAAAAUCAAUUUGCUUUUAAUGGGAAAAAAAUGUAAAAAUGUCUGAUUUUAUUCGCAGUUGGUGUCCCUGUUUGCUAAUCAAAUGUUUUAAGAUAUUUGUCAUUACCUAGACAAAAGGCGUAGAACGCACAGUCACAGAUGCAUGUAUACAAAAUACGAUACGUAACUAACUUUCAUUUAUAUGCUAAUUGCAUAUAAUAUUAAUUUCCUCCAUCUUUUCGAGAAUUAGAAUCAUACCACCAUAUCAAUAUCAAUAUCAAUGAAGGAUAGUAUGGCCGUACAGGGUUAAAGCUUAAAUACCAUAACUGCACUUCGUCGCCCAUCUCUCACUUUCUCAUCAUAUUUCCAUCACAGUAUCUUGAACUAUCUCUCUCCAAUUUUCAACUCCUAAAUGUGAUAAAUUUUCUUCCACAACUCUGGUUGAGUUUUUCACGAAGAACCAAUGUAGAUUUUUUAAAGAAAAGUAUUAAUUAUACCUUGACCUAAUGAUUUUUUUUAAUAUCUUCAUUUUUAAAAAGAUAUGAGUGUUUUAAUUUAAUUUAAUCUUAACUAGGGAUCAGUCAGAUCCGGCUCUUGUUUCUUCGGGUUCAUGGUUAUAUUAUAUCGAUUCUGGUAAUUAUUAUUAUUAGUAUUAUUUAUUUUUUUUUUUAUGUAGUCACAUUCGUUUUAAUCAUUUGUUUCUUUUAGUAAAUAUCGGUAUUUACAAAGGGACCUAUUAUCAAUGAGUCAAAUCACACUAUUAACUAGUAAUCAGUAGACAUUUUUUUCUUUAUCUUAUGAAUUAUACAACGAAUGUUUGAAGUUAUUAUUUUCACAUUGUAAAAAGAAGAACCAGUAUCGGCAUCGAGAACCAAAAGAAAUAUUUUCUGAAUCGAACUGGUACCGAUGUUUUUAGGAACCGUUCCUAAUUUUAAUCAUUAAUAAGGAGUAAUUAAAUUUUCCGCCAAUAUCGAUCUAACUGAUCACCACCGGUAUAAAAAUCUCCAUCUCCGUUUACCGCCACAAUAAAUUUCAGUUUUUGUACUACUGAAAAUCACUUAAUUGUUUAUAUAAAAGGGGUCGAAAAACAUUUUUUCCGAAUUUUGUAAAAUUUUGAAAUUAUCCUUUCUCACAACUCGUCCCUCAACUAUUUUUUAAUUCAUCAUCCUAACCCAUUCAGUCUGCCUCUUAAAGCUUCUACAGCUUUCUUAAACACAUUUUCUUAACUCACUCUUGACCUUCUUAACGGUAUAUUUCCUGACGGGUUAUUUUUCACCGGAAGAGUUUUUUGAUGGUUUCUAAAAUAUUCUUUUUGUCAUAGGUACAUUGCUUCUAGUUCUCGGGUUUUUCUUUCUUCUCCACUUUCCGAUCAUGCGAUUCUAUGCAGGUAUAAAGAUAUUUCCACCGUCACUAACUCAAAAACGAAAAUCGCCCCUAUAAGUGAGAGGCCGCAGCUUUAUUUUCAAAAUAACCGAUGUCUUAUUCUUUAAAAAAUGAUCAUCUAUAAAUCGCAUGAAGGCGGGUGCUUUAUUAGUUCUAUAAUCAAUUUUAAACACCUUUUUGUUUUGCUUUACAUCGACCACGUUGUUUAUUAUGUUGUCGUCCUCUAGAAAGACUUGGUGGCAUGACGCUACUGUGACUUUCACUUAAUGAAGAAAUGUCGAUUGGUAUUUACUCGACGAAGCCUUGAUUGAGGAGGCGGGGAAGAACCUCUCUUGUAUUUACUUCGACGAUUAUAAUAUGCACACCACUUGCGGCUUUUAACACGAGAAAUUACUUUUAUUCGAAUUCGACAACACUAGAUUUUAUAUAACGAUGACACUUGACCUUACAUUCACACGGCAUAUACGAUUUUCUUACGUGACGAUAAUUUAUUAUUGAGUAUUAUUGACCUAUAGAUUAGACGCACGUCGGCUUAAACGGAACAAUAAAUAAUAUAUGCUACGAUUCGCGUGUAACUGCAACUAAGUUAUAGUUGUGAUAAUGUAAUCAAUUACGUUUUGUUUAUAAUAGCGUGUAGUAUAAUUAAGUACGUAAUUUAACCGUAUUAUACGUGUAGGUGCUCGUAUUUUAGCGCGCAUUAAUUAUUUCUCACGAAGCGCCUAACGAUAAUAAAUGAUAUAGACGCGUUUCGCAGGACGAUACAAUUUAUUACAUCAUAAUACGGAGUUCGAAAUAAAACUUACGUAUUAAUAUUAUAAUAUUAUAUACAAAACAAAUAACAUUUGGCGCCACCGUGUUUCGGUAUCGUACAUAAGCCCUUCUUAUAGGGAAGUGAAUGGGCGAUAUGUAUUACCAACCUCCUCCUUUGUAAAUAGGACGUUUUUCAUAAAAGAAAUUAAUCAUGUAACGACAAGUUACAAUAAUACUGCAGAAGAAACAACAUGAAAUGGCGUUGCCAUUAACAAAACAAAUAUUUUAAUAUAUUGGGUUUAUUGAAAAUAUGUAAUCAAUGGUCUCGCUAUAAAUAUAGAUAAAUGUCAAAUAAAACAUUAAAAAAAUAAAAAACGUAAUCACAUCAUUUAUAAAUAUCGUUUAACAGAUAUUUAUCUAUUUCGUUUCUCAUUAAUUAAAAAAUCUUGGAAUAUGGUUUGAUUACAAACUUAUAUUUUAUUCUCAUAUCCUAGCAAUUAAAAAAAAAGCUUUUUCUAUAAAUAGCAUGGUCAAACGAAACGGUUCUGAAUUCAACAACCUUAAUAAUAACUUUUGGGCAACUAUACAUCUCUAUCAUUCGUGCACAGCUUGAAUAUCCUUCGAUAAUCUGGGAAAAUAAUACUAUUGGCUAUAGUAACGAAAUUGAAGGUAUCCAAAACAAAGUUUUCCGAUUUAUUUGCUUUAAUUUUAAAAUACCAAAGACCAACCACUCGGGCUAUGUUAAAAUUAUAAAUUUUUUAAAUUUAUAAUCAUUGAAAGUAAGGAAACACAAUUUGUUCGUCUCAAUUAUUAAUAAAUUAUUAAACAAUAAUAUUGACGACUCUUUCAUUCUUAGCCGUAUUCAUUUUAAUAGAGUCAACCCACAUAAUAUACGCAAUGUAAAGAUUUAUUUUAUAUUUCAUUUCAAAGUAAAAAUUGUACUUAUUUUUUCAUACGUGUAUGUGUGUCCCGUUUUACCUAAGUUCUUCCCAAUUGUUACGAAAUACCCCUCUACGGGAAUAUUAGUAUAUGUCACUAUGGCAGUAGUUCUCUAAAAACGAGAUACUGUUUUACACCACCUGUACGACAGUUUCUCCUUCUCCGAAAAAUUAUUCUGAUCUAUUUUUAUUUGUACACGUUUUAAAAUGUAUAUGUAUACAUUUCUCGCUCAGGCUUAUAGCAUAUACGUAUUAUACCAGUGGUUCUCAGUCUUCAUGUACAUACGACUAAUGAUAUUUAAGUUUUGUGCGCGGAAUUUCUUUAAAACGGUGAAAAUAUAAUAAAUGUAACUUUCUACCAGGAAACUUGUUCCAAACAAAAAAUUAAAAUUAAUAUUUUUUGUUGAAAUUUGGAUCUUGUUGGUGUUUAAGGAGGCUGAUUUUUUAUGUACCGUGUUGUUUUCUUAAUAAGUGAACAAAACCGGGAAAAAUAUAGAAAGAAUGGGAAAAUAUCAAAAUUUUCAAUUUUGUUUUUUGUUGUAAUUCUGUUAAAAAUUAUAAUAGAGACAUGACAUUUUUACAGAUAGAUUUUAUUCAUUUUUACUAAACGUGUUAAAAUUGUUUAACAAUCCUGAAAAUAUUUUUGAGUUAUUUAUAGACAUUUCACAUUUUAUAAUUUUUUUACAUAGUUUUUUUUUAGUAAGUUUAUACUAUGUGGAUACAAUUGUUUGACCAAAAAGUAAAUGCUUAAAAAUUAAAAACAAUAGUUUUAUUAUAAAUUGUAAUUUACGGUAAAAAAAAAUAAAGUCAGGCAUAAUGCAGUAGUUUUUUUAUUUAAUCGUUUUAAGAUUAAAUUUUAACGAAAAUCGUAAAAAUUACGGUAAUUUUAUCAUUUUUCAUGGGCAAUAGUUUUGUUAUGUACAAAUAUUAAUUAAAUAACUAAAUUAAAUAUUUAUGCUAUAAAUCAUAUCACAGCUAGAAUAUUAAUAACAUUUUCGAUUUUAACUGUUUAACAAACGUUUAACCGAAAAGUUCCCCUCACAAGUACGUAUAUUUCGUUUACAAUGAUUUAUCGUCGCGUUCAAAAUUUAAAAUAAAUCAUCCUAUAUUUCCUACCUUUUCGACUUCCCACGUAUAACAGAGCAUUCGUCGCGUUAGUUUUAUUUUUGAUAGUUAUAUUAUUGUACAUUGAGGAAAUUGCCGAGUUCCCGCGAUGUGGGCGAUGUGAUCUGCUUCCGCGUACGCUAGCAAGUGUCCGUCAAAUAUCACUACCCUUCCCCACCAAAGAUCAGUAUAAAUGUUUAAAAGAAAUUGAUUUUAUUUUUUUUUUAUUUUUUUAUAAAAAUGCGGAUUAUUCUCUAUAAUACACACAACGAUGUGUCAGUUAAGGUUAGUAAAUUUGUAGACGAAUGGAACACGGCAGUUGGAAUUUUCACUGUAAAUAUUGCGUAUUAUAAUAUGACAUAUAUAUUGUUGACAAAGCAAACACUAUCAACUGAAUUUCGCUCACAAUGGUUUUUUCGUUAGCAAUGGUUUAUCGUUGCUUACAGAUGAUGUACAUUGAAUUCUCGUUUGUAUCCGAAACUCGACAAAACUCUAAGUGCCCGCGAUACUUGGAAAAACGUCGUAUUUCGGCUGUAGCCUAGGAAAACCUAGUGACCAAUCCCAUUUGGGCAAAACCGUAGCGUCGAUAAAUUUCAAUUUUUCAUAUUAGGUUGGUAACUUAUAAUUAAAUGUACUAACUUUUAUAAUUCUCAAUACCUUCAUAACUUCGGUAUUAUUAUGUAUACGUUGUACACGUGUAAUCACAUUGGACCAGUUAUAUUUUAUUUUAUCGUUAUGUAUAUGUAAUAUAAGAAAAAAAAAAUCUGUACCUACUAUUAAAUCACUACUACGUUUGCCCGGUUAUUUCUGAGGUUCUACAGAUUUCAACUUUUACUUUUAAGUUAAUAGAAUAUUAAAUCUUAUUGUAGGUACAUCUAAAUAUAGGUACAGUGAUUUAUUUAAUUAUUUACUAUGAAUGAGAAAAAAAGUAAAGUAUAAACAUGUCUUUUUUUCGAUAUGAGUGUUAAAUUUUGAAAUUUGAAGUUAUUUAAUUUUUUAAUUUUGAUUUAUUACUUUGGUGGGCCGGUUAAUGAUUGAUCGCGGUCCGAAUUUGGUCACCACUGUUUUCUGUUAUAAUUUGAACUCAUUGAUUUAUUUUUUUUUGUUUGGGAUUCUUAUUUAAUCCAAGAAUUGAAUAAAACGAUUGGAUUUCAAUUUAAUCUGUUAUUAAAAUAAUACUAUUUUUCAUAAGAAACCGAAACAUAAGAGACCGUUUUCAUUAAUAAUAACAAUACUGUAUUAUGACUAAAUAUUAAAAAUGAAUAUUGUAUAUUUCUUGGUAUCGUGUACAUAAUAUUAAUUCAAUCCUUUUUUAAUGUUUUAUAUGUAUAAUUUACUAUGGCGAUGCACAGAGUAAUUUAAAAAUAUUUUUAUAAUAUACCUUAUUACACUCUAGAGUGUAGUGUUUAGACAAUAGGUACCGAAUGUACAAAAAUAACUAUAAUUUAAAAACAGUUUAUUUAUAGGUGUAUAUUUUAAUACUGUUGAGAAGGAAAAAUUCACAUAGUUUAUAUUAUAUCGAGUGCACCCAUUUAAAUGGAUCGCCUUGUAUACUGUUUACCCCACAAUAUUUUUGUUCCGCAUUUUACUAUAUCUUCCAUAAACAGUUGUUCCGGCAGACUUAUACUCCUCAAUCCCUAAUAGGCAUGUAUAACCGUUUGGCUACAACAAACAUACUAAAAAUAAUGACAAUAUUUAGUUAUUUAAUAUAACAUAUAAUAUCAGAAUUUCAAAAAACUAUAAUUUCGAUUCGCUCAAUACUGACUUCACCAUUUUUUUUAUCGUCGAUAUACUCCAUCACCAAUAUACAUAUAUUCAAAAAAAAAAAAAUUAAAAAUUAGAUUUAUUCCGGGUAAUUUUUUUCUCAACGAUUUUCGUCAAAAUUUGAUGUUAAAUUUCCUUUUUAAAAAAAAAAAUACUACAUUAAACUUAAAUUUUCAUUUUUUGACAACAAAGUAAGACUUUUAAUGAAUUUCCUAAUAAAUUUUAAAGCAUUUAUAUUAAGUCUAACAAUUUUAUCACAGAGUACUUACCGAAUAAAAAUUUCGUACACAACUCGCAAAAUUGAAAUGUUUAUAAGUACCUCAAAAAUGACUUAAAUUUUUUGAAAAUUUUACCACGUCUAGAAAAAACAAAUACGAGUUUUCUGUCUAAAUUACAAGUUCAGUUGAGUCGAUACGAAUAUUUUUAACUGAAUCUCAACAAAAAUAUUAAAAUUUGUAUAAAUAGCCUUAAAAUGGCUCAAAUGUUUUGAAUAUUUUACCACGCUUAGAAAAAGUAAAUAUAAAUUUCUUGUUCAAAUUUUAAAUGUUUACGAAUAUUUUCAAUUGAAUUACAACAAAUAAUAUAAUUGAAAAAUAAUAAAAGCAUUAUUUUCCUAAAUUUCCAGUUCUUUUACGUUUUAUCCUGGUUUUUCCUAGAUAUUGUGAAUAUAUAUAUACAUAUUAUAUUUUCCGCUUAGAAAAUCAAAAAAUGAUCUCCCAAAAGCACCAUCUGGACAAUGUUCCCUUUCAGAAAUGGUGCCGUGCGUAUAAAUCUGAGUAAGAUUGCUGGUAGAAUUUUUGUGCACAGGAUAAAAAAAUAAAAAACUAAACAUCUUAGUAAAACCAAUGCAUUCUUGGCUACACUCAAAAUCUAUCGAUUAAUUAACAAAUCCCACUUGUGAUAUUGAUGUGCCGAUUUUACGUUUUCUAUUAUCACAAACCUAUUAAUUGAAUUAUUAAUACUCGUAUUAUCGGUUUCGGGGGAUUUCACUGUCGGUCGACGAGUGACUCUAAUAAUAACCGUAUGACAUAACCGUCUUAACCCCGAGCGUCGGCGGCGACCCCGAGGUGUCGUCGCACACCACUGUACAAUCACUCACCAUGACGUCGAUGCCGAGCGGGUCUAUCAUGCGGGCCACAGCCAUCCACUUGAGGAACGUGUAAAUGGCCGUGCCCUGGAACGUGUCGCCGGCGUUGAGAAACAGCGUUCCGUCAGAGCCGUUGGACUUUUGGGCCUCGGCCCGAGCCUCGUCCACGGCCGUCUUGAGCCUCGCGAAACCGCCGUAACACCGCGGUACCGGGCUGCGGUCCAUGCAUUGCGCGCCGAUCCGUUCGACCGGCUCGAACCGCGAGUGCAUGUCAUUGGUGUGCAACACGAGUAACCGGAACGCGUGGCCGUCAUCGUACGGCACAUUUGCGGCAGCCACCGAAAAGAAUAGUAAAACCAACGUCGUCGUCGUCGUCGGCCGGUUCAUCGCUUCGAUCGCGGACGGUUGUUCGGUGUCGGUACGUGUACGACGUACGGAUCGCGUCGCGUUGUGCGUUCUGCACGUGUGCUGUCGGCCAACGUAAUAUUAAUUUUUCGUUCCCACGUCCCCACUAUAUUAGUGACCUUUUCACUGACACCGCGGGAGGAACAUCCUCCUACCACCGCCGUCACCGCCGUUACAUCGGCUACCACACAGACAGUGUCAGCGGAAUAAUAUUAAAUCGGAUUCCGAAUUCAGGUAUUCGAUACAAUUAAGCAUUGUUCAGAUACCGAAAUGGCCGAAUUCCAUUAGGUCCCCCGUCGUGUCGGCGAUGUUAGGUUAGGUAAGGAACUGCACACGCCGCCCGCUCUAGGUUUCUGCAAAAUGUUAUGUUAUACGCAGUGACGUACCUACCGAAAAAUAUUCAAUUGGACAGGGCUGGGCAGCCUAGGCAAGCGGACGAGCGAUUGGAAUGAGACGGGGACCAUUAUUGCGUUUAAAUACCGACAAAACUGAAUUAUUACAAAUUAUCGUUAUAAUCUCGUUGUAUAUUAGUAUGUAUGAUUUUUGAUUAUACUAAGACAAUAUUAUAUUAUUGUGUAUAAGAAUACACGUGUAAUAACAUCAAAUUUACAUAAAACGUGCUAUACAUUUGCCCCGAAAUUAGAAACAUUUCGCUCCGAUUAAUAAAAUGUUAUCGACAAUUCAAUUAAUCAUUUAGAUUUCUUCAACGAUGAUCGUUACUUAUAAUUCACGAUAAAUUCACUAUCGUAUUGUUUUCGAUUAAUUAAUCACACGCGUUCUUAAUAGUUUUUUUUUUUUUUGUCUGUCGAAUACGCAAUAUGUUUAAUUUAUACUGUACGGAGCCCACCAAUGUAGCGUUUAUUAUUAAUAAAUAAAUUUAAUGGAUAAUAUUAUUGUUGACUAAUAUCUUAAAAAAGUUAAAGUAAUACAGUGGUGUUUGAUAACCUCUUUUAUAGCAUGUUUAGAUUAAAUAUUAAUGGAAAAGGUUACGUUACAUUAGGUUAAGCAUUGUAUGAUAUAGGUACUUACAAACUAUGAUUUGACUAUUAUUAUAAAUAAGAGUGCCUGAAAUGAGAUUUUUAUCAAUACAUUAAACAUCCAAUAGUACUUACAUUAUAAUAUAAAAUAAAUGUAAAGUUACUUUGUAUCGCAUGCAUAUGUAUAUUUUCAAUUGUUAGAGUCCAAUCAUACUUGAUAAGGAUUGUUAUCCCGUAAAAAUAAAAUUUGUGUGACACCAAUCACACGGGCAAUUAAACAUAGCACUAUAAACAACGCAGACCGAUACAGUUAUUAUGUAACAAUAUAAUUGUGAACAUUCAUUCAUCAGAAUGCUAAAUAAUUAUUAUUGUUUUCUUGUUUUUUUUUUUAAAUGUUAUGUUCCAAAAAUAUAAGCCCGCCAGUGGUGAUGGCCCAUUAUCUUUGACCACUAAAGGCCAGGUGUUACACGUGUCAUAUUAUAAUGCUGUAAACAAAAAAUGCUAUCUAUCUAAAAAAAUUAACCACUCUCGUUCAGCACCGUAGCCAGAGUUAAAUGGGCCCCAGUGCAAAUUUAAUUUGUAGACGCAUUAUUUUCCAUUAAUAUUUAAUCUAACCGUAUACUUUAAAAAAGAUACGGGCAUACUUCGCACGAAGGGCGAGCCACAGUUGUAGAUGAGAAGUUUAAUGGGGAAAUUUAAUGUACAUCUGUACGCGACGAUUAAUCUUUGCUAACGAAAGAACGAUUCUGAGCGGAGUUCGGUUAAACAUGUAUUUAAUGGCCGUCAUAUUUACGAUUUGAAAAUAAUACAUUUCGUAAAUUCUCACAUUUUUCCUACGUUUUUCUCGGUUUUAACCAAAUAUUAUAAAAACGUUUUGGAAAAACAAAUGACCUCCUCAGUGUACUAUCCCAGUCUGAUUUCUUUUCAGAAAAGUGCUAUACUUGGAAAUCGAAGAAAAAUUUCUGGUAGAAAAGUUGUUCGCAGAUUAAAAAAAAAAAUAAUAAUAAUAAUAUAAUAUAAUAAAAUAAAUGCCAUUAAAAAACCAAUUUAAGAACAAAGUAUACAAAUUGGAAAAAAUGUUACUUCUUUUUAAAAACGUUAUAGAAACUGUUUAUUUUCAUUUAUAUUUUAAGAAUGCAUAAAGGAACUAUACAAAUUAUCUUCACUAUUCAGAAAAUAUUAUUAUAGUUAUAUUAAUUUAAAUUUUAAACGUUUAAAAGGGGUGCAACAAGGUUGCGAACAAACGUCACUUAUCCAAGAAUUUUUUUUUUUUAGCCGAAAAACGAAUGAUUGCGAACGUUUUCUCAGGCUACGUUGCCAAGUUUAAAUUUCUGAAAAUGUUUUAUUCUCUUCGGAGAUUUAAUUAUAAACAUUAUAAUAUUAUAACUACGUCACAAACUAAAAUAAAAUGAUACAAAAUUAUAGUGUUUAAAAUGAUGAUUAGUUUAAAUUUUUAUCUUGGUAAGCAUAUUAUACAUGAACGGAUUACGAAUAAUACUGCACGUCUAUACGAAUCCAGCUGGUUUUUCAUCAAAUUAAUAUCAAUUUAGGACUAAGAUAAUAAAUAAAUAUGUUAGUAUUUAUUCUACACCGUAUCUUAUCGACCGGCGAAAUAGCAGAAAACUAUUAUUAUUAAUCUUAUAUAAUUUGAUUUUAUGCAAAUUAAACGAAAUUUAGACCAAUAGUAUUAAAUCCAUUUAUUGUUUAAACACUGUGAAAUUCCCGUUAACGAUUACCUCUAUGUAACGGUCAUUCGUUUUUGUCCGUUGACGAGUGUUAUGCCUCUAUAAGACACUUCUAACGAUGGACACCUCUAAACAGCGGUCAUUAUUUCCGGUCCCUUCGGUGACCGUUAUAAUAUGGAAGUUUUAGUGUUUAAUUGACAAACGCCAAAUCUGGCAACGCCACACGAAAAAAAGGCAAGUAAAAACGUUCGCAAUCGUAUAUUAUCUGUUUAUAACACUCUGAAACUCUGCAACGUACUUUUAUACGCUAAUCAUUUAACGAAUAGUUUUCAGACGUUUUUGCUUCAAAUUUUUUAUUUGGUUCCCCCCCCCCCGACAUAUUUUUAGUAUUUUCUCGUAUAUCUAACCGCGUAACAUCGUUGUCAUCCGUUUGCCGGAAAUUCGUGAAAAAAACGCAAUCAAUAUAGAAACCCUGCAAACAUUUUACAUAAUAUUCUCCGGCGGGUCAUUAGGGACAUUCGCACACGUGUGCCCGUCGUAAUAUAAUAAUUAAGUUACAUAAUAUCACCCGAAUUCGCCCGGGUUAGGUUAUCAAAAAAAAAAAAAAUAAAUAAAUAAAUAAAGAACGACUAUAAAUGACAGAAAUCGAUAGGUAAAAUUAAAAUUGAUGUACCUAUACCCAAUCCCAACAGGGGUUCCCUUAGACAUUAUUAGAGUCACAUUUUUUCCCCCAAAUAAUUUAUAUUUCGCAGGUUUUGACAAUAAAUAUCAACCUAAAUGGGAGAAAAUUGGAGAGAAUUAGGGAAAACCGGCACCGAGCCCUUUAACAUUACUAUUUUCUGAACAUGUGAAAAAUGUAUUAAUUUUACUAUGAUGUAUGUUUCUUUGAUUUUUGUCUGUUAGUAACUUUUUUGUCAUAAAUCUCGCUCCAAUCAUCAACUCCAGAGGUGGUUUUUGGUAAAACGAGUUGUCUAGACAGUGCAUGAGAGAGAUCAUCGAAAAAGUCUACCCUUUUCGUUUUAGUCAGUCUAAUUAAAACAAUUAAAAAUAAAUUUCUCGUUUGCGGUUCGGAUGUUUGAGAUACUACCAUUUGAACAAUUUUUCACAUAUGCACUAAUAAUAUAUUUGUCGUCCAUUACGCGGUUAUUUGUUUGGUUUUGGUCCAAAUUACUGAUUUUCGGCUGACGCUAAAUGUAUUCGCGGUUUUAACUCCGUUUUCUUCUGAUCAUUCCGAUUCCUCUCAGAAUUUUCUCCUAAUCCCAACCUUUUGGACGAUUUUUACGUUACAUAAAAAUGUGUUAAUAUUUACUAUAUCUAUUGAUUUUUUAGAUAAUUAUUUAUGACUUUGUCCUAGGCUGCAGUAUAUUAAUCGACUUGUGAUUAAAUUGUUUUAUCGUUUUUAUAUUUAAAAUUGGUUGUCGUAUUGCGAUGACACACAAACCUCGACCCAAUUAAAAAAUCUGAUCGGCCGUUAAACGAUCUGAUAACAUUCUAAUAUCUAUAUCAUAAUAUCUUGAUUUUUCAAUAACGAUCAUGGCCUGUAGAUACCCAUAGUAGCGUGCACAGGGAGGGGGUGAUUAGAAGUUGUAUUUCCACCUAAAUUAGUUUACACAUACAACGACUAUGCAUAAUAAUGUAUUUAGUAAUUCAGUCUUAAAAUGUGUCUAUAUAUACCUCGAAAAGACACUCAUUACCUUGAAAGUAUUAACUCUUACCGAAAUAUUUUUUUUUUUAUUUUACAAUUCAAAUUAAAACUUCAACUAUUUAUGGAAUUUGCCUUACAGGUUACUAUUUGAAAAUAAAAAUUAGGUAGAGGUUUCAUCGUCCAAAUUAACGGUGAUAUAACAUAUUAGAGCUAACUAUUAGUUUCAUAAGUUGUCCAAAAAAACAAAUUAAUAAUUUUUGAAAUAAUAAGUAUCUUAUCAAAGAUUAAUCAUUCUGUAUAUGUACUGCAUUCGAGUUACAAGUUAAAUCUAGAAAUAUUGAAUAAAAUAUUCUUUUUAUGAUUCGGCUUUUUUAUUCUCGUUCCCGGUUUAAGCGUAGAAAAUGGGUCUACGAUUUAUUCAUGUUAUUACUAUACAUAGUGUCCCAUCGUAUUCAACGGAUUAUUGUAAUAUAUCUGUUAAGUAUUAAUUUUUCUUUUUUCAGCGAUUAGAGGAUGCAAAUAAAAAUGUAAUUUUUUUCUAUAUAGGUACUCAUAUAUGGCUCACCCUUGAACACACAAUUUGAUUGGAACAAAAAUUGAAUAUUAAACGGAAAGCGGCAGCUUUUAAGUUAUCGUUAUCCGAGGCGGUUUUUAGAUUUUGAGUAAAGCGAGGAAUCUAUUAUUAUUAUUAUUUUUUUUUAUAUUAUAUACACAAAUUCUUUACGAAAUCUUUCUCCAACGUAUCAAGUGUAGCAAACUUUCUGAAAGGGAAUCUUAUCUAAUUGGUAUUUUAACGAGGCCAUUUUUUGAUUUUCUUAAUAGAUUUCAUAAUAAUUGGGAGAAGCUCAAUAAUAAUGCUUAUAUUAUUUUCAGUUUUGUUUUUUAUUAUAAUUCUGUUCAAAAUGUUUGUGGAAAUUUUAAAUUAAGACAAAAAACUUAUUUUUGCGUUUCUAGACGUGAUAAAAUGUUCAAAACAUUUAAGUCAUUCUAGAGCUAUUUAUAGAUAAUUUAAUUGUGCUAGUUUUUUACUUAAGUAAUUUUAUUAAGUGAAUAAAAUUGUUAAACCAAACAGAAAUGCUUGAAAAUUAUUUUAACAGGAGGUUCAUUAUAAGUUGUACUUAGUGACCAACAAGGAAAAUUUCAGUUUAAUGUAGUCCUUUUUUUUAUAAAAAUUUUAAUAUCGAAUUUUGACGAAUAUCGUAAAUAUACAUAUAGCCUUUAUUUCAAACAUGUAAUAACCGAACCAUGUUCAGCUGUGAUUAAUUACUACAUAUAUAGAUAUACAUUAAAUUCCCCUAUGUAUCAUACCUUUCCAACUUCUCACCUACAACAGUGGCCCACCUUCGUGCGAAGUAUGUCCGUCUUUUUUCUUUCGAUUUCUAUUUAUUAUUUUCUAACAAAGUUUUUGAUAGUAUUGUGUAGAAGCGCGCGUUCUGUUUUUAGCCUUCACCCGAGUACCAAUAAUUAGUAUUUCAUCAAUAAUGACAUUGUACCCGUGGGUUCAAGUGUGUUAGAUGCUCAGUUUUAUUUAUUUUUUUUUCUUUCCUCUGUUUUAUAAUUAAAACGAAGCCGUAAUUUCUUCGAUUGGAAAAAAAACGCGUGGCAGUAACAUAAUGUACUAGAUUACGUGUAAAAAAAGAGAUUUUUUUCUUUUAUUUUUAAGUUCUCUCUGGCGCAUUUCAAAUUAAAAGCCAAUUUUUUUCCUCGUUUAAAUCGUUUGACAGCUCUUUGUUUUCGCUGACAAUUGAUAUCCGCUUGUGUUUUUAGAGAUCGCUACAAUAAUAAUCAUUUGUCGUUUCUGCUUUAUUUUACCGAACAUUAUAAUUAUAAAAAGUGCUGAUUCUGGGGAUGGGAGUGAUCACUGUUAUAGGUGAGAAGUUGGGAAGAUAGGAUACAUAAGGUUAUUUCAUUUAUAUCAUUAAGCAACGAUAAACCAUUGUUUGACGAAAGACGAUUCCAAGUGCAGUUCGGUAAUAACUUCAUUUGAAGUGCCAUAUUUUUUUUUGCGAUUUUCGUUUAAAUUUAAUUUCAAAACGCUUAUUAAAAAAAAAAAAAAUUUUAUCACGUUUAGGUAAGUCUAAUAUAAGUAUUAUUACUAAGUUUAAAGUUUCUACGUGUAUUUAUAACCUAACUACAACAAAAAAACUUCCAAAAUAUAAAAUUCCUUAAAAGCUCAAAAGUAGCUCAAUAGUUUUGGCAAUGAUACCGUAAGAAAGUAAAUCAAAAAGGCAACAAAAAUGGUAUUUUGUGAUUUUUCGGUCAAACCAUUUUUUCUGGUAGGAAACGUCGUCCGUGUUUUAAUAAAAUAAUGAAAUCGUGAAAUUGUACAUCUUCCUGCCUUUUUUCCCACUUAAGUGCUUUUAUUUAAAAAAUGGUGAAGAAAAAUGACUUUUUUAAAUUACAAUCUAGACAACUUGAGCUUUCAAAAAGAGUGAUACCUGUAAAAUCGGAGUAAUAUUAAUAGGAAAAAAGUAUCCACAGACUAGGACAAAGAACAAAAAAAUAAACAGAAUUAUAAAACCAAUAGCUCCCUUGCUACGCUUGUAAUGUAAAAUGUAUUUUUGGAGUUUCCAACGGAGUAUUCCGGUUUCAAUAAUGCGCUUAAAACAUUUUUUCACUAGAUUAAAGACGUUCGUAUUUAACGGUAUUAUGUUUUCAUAUAGGAAUUUUUUUUCCCUAUUAAAUUUUAUAUUUGAUAUGAUUUAGGAAGAAAAAUUCAUUUUUUUAAGCACAAAUAGAUCAUAUGGGAAUUGCACGUUAAUAAAAUCCCUUCGUGAAAACGUAUACUUACCUAUUAUAGUAAAUUGUUGACAUCAUUAAUUUUGAAAAAAAUUGUUUUUUUGUUUGAAUUUUAUUUAGUACCAGCUACAGGGUACAAUUUGAAUACGGGGAAAUUGUGACACUAGCAAUAAAUUGCUCCAAAACCAAUACUUAACUGUCAAAUAAUUGUGACAGUUAUCCCACUAUAAUAAACAAUAUUUCCUUAUCUAAAUGUUGAUAGUAUAAUAACCACUGAAUAAAAAAAUGAAAUGUGAUUUUGAUAACUGAUAGUAAAUAAAAUUAUAAAAUUAUAUUUUUUUUUAUUAGUGUUGCAUUUUAUUCUUUGUUUAUGUUAAUCAUAAUAACAUAGUCAAAAACGUAUGUAAUUUCUGUGGGUGUUGUUCAAAAUACACUAACCAGUCCAUAUUGUAGGUAUUAGUUAAAAUAUAUUACGGCCUUCUUUUUUUCUGUGGACAACUUUUCUACCAGAAAUCUUAAUCCGAUUUAUAAUAAUAGCAAUGUUUCUAAAACGAAAUUUAACUGCGGAAGUACUUUCUCGGGAGUUUUACCAAAAAAUGUGAAAAACCAGGAAAAAAUAUGAGAAAACCUAGGAAAACUUUGAAAAAACGUGAAAAUCGAUACAUUAAACAAAUAUUAUUUAAGAUAAUAUAUAAUGCCUAUGUAAUUAUUUUACCAUAAUAUGAAAUACCUUUAAAUUGUUGGCAAAGCAACACUAUCAAAUGAACCCCGCUCAGAAUUGUUUUUUCGUUAGCAAUGAUUUAUAGUUGCUUACAGAUAAACAUUGAAUUCCCGUCUGUAUCCUACCUUCCUAACUUUCCACCUACAAAAAUGGCUGCACCCACGUGCAAAGUAUGUCCGUCUUUUUUUUUAAAUUUGUUUGUUUUUUAUGAUAUUAAUUGGUAACAGUAUACAUAAAGAUGUUGCCCAUUAAAACGUUUUGAUUACAUUCCGCAAUAAGUACUCAGUGAAGCGACAAUGAUAUUUUAUUAUAUCAUAUUAAUAGAUGCAUAGUUUGAAUGCAUAAACAUUAAGUGUUGUACUAAUUUCCACCCGUAAAUAUUUUCAAUGACUUUAAAUGUUGUUAUUUUCAGAUAGCUCCCUCCUCCGCAACCCCGAAAUAUAAAAAUGUACUUAGUACUACACUGGUUGAAGGUAAACAAAUACAUUUUUGUUUUUUUGACAUAAAAAUUAUAAAAUUUUACAAGCAUUACAGAAAGAUAAUAUUCUGACACAGCACUCGAUAAUAACAACUAUAGUCCAUCGUGUACACCAAUUAGAAAUUCGUUGAACCGAACUGGUGUAUCAUGUUGAUUCCGAUUUAUACAUAUCGGUAUGUGAUACAGAUUCGACUCUUAUGGUACCGGUCGAACAAUAAAUUCAGUGCAAUCAUCAGACAUCAAACUACCUUUUUCUGAUGCCGUUACUUAUCAAUGUACAAAAUAUGAGUUGAAAUAAACGUUAUCUGUAGACAUGUUUCUAUGUUGGCUGUAAUGUAAAAUUUUUUUCGGGAUCUGCAGUUAUUUUUUUCAUUAAAUUACAAUUCCUCGUGAUAGUCCCAGAUGUCUCGUCCAAAAAAAAUGAUAAGGCAGGGAGCAGGUAAGGAAUAAGGAAAUUAAAUACAAUACAACAAAGAAUAAACAAUUUGUAUGCUCUAUACAAGCCACUUGCCGUACGUGAUUGUGUAUAUAAAGUUCAUUUGUUUAUAUCGAGUUCCUAUUUCGCGGCAUCGGAAACGAUUACCUAUACUCGUAUGUCUUGUUCCAUCUGAUUAUUAUAUGUACAUGUAACUCUAUAUAACUCUCUAAACUACAUUUUGUUGUCAGACAGGUCAGGAGGAGAGAAUCUCUUUUGUACGACGUACACAUGAACGCUUACCAGCUACAAUAUUCUGAUAAUAGAAAAAAAAAAUGAUCGUCAAUCGGUACGUACACAGUUCAAAUA